GUCUAAUUCAAGCCAUUCUAGCAUUAUAUGGUUUUGUAUGUUCUCAGGGAGACAUUCUAAGUUGCAACACUCAUUCAAUUUUAGCCGUUUUAAAGAUCGUAUACCAUCAAGUAUGGACCAUAGACUUAAUGCAUUGAUUUCUGUGCACCCUGAAAGGUCUAGCUGUGUAACAGACCCCAGUCCAUGAUCAUCUGAUAACUUAUUCCCAACAAUGUUAAGCUUGUUACACUUAGUUAUGGAAAGAGAAGUAAGUUUGGUAUUACGCCAAAUCGAUGAAGACAACUCACGUAUAGCAGUGCCACGUAAGAAUAACUCUGUAAUUUCCUCCAAUGUAACCGAAAAUUCUGUGAGAGAUGAACAACCAUCCAGUAAGAGUUCACGAAGAGAUUUUGAAUGAAUGUUCGUUUUAAGGCUUUCAAUAGUAAUGCAACCUCCUAAAUCUAGAAAUGUAAGUCGAGGGAGAGAAAAGAUGGAUGGAUGGAGCUGACGCAAGCUUUCACAUUGACAGAGAGAUGCUCUUCCAAGAUUUGUAGCCCUAGAUAAGUCGGGGAUCUCAAUCAGAUCUUUGGAGUAAUUAAGGCAGAUUGUGAUUAGAUUUUACAAGAUUCUGUAACAAGAAAUAAACAUGCAUAAGUGUUGAUUAAAAGAGAAACAAAACCUAGUUAAGAAUAAAUAGAGGCAUGUCAUCCUAGCUCUGCUACAAUUUUGUGAAUAGCACGAGACUCCUCUUGUACCUUUAUAAAGUUAACAAGUAUAUCCAAACAUAUUUGUACCUGAACUCCAUCUCAGAGAUUUUUAAGCUUGCUAUGAGUCAUGCUAAGCUCUACAAGCAUUUCAGCACAAAAGUUUGAUGGAAAAGACUAAAGACAAUAUCCCUCCCAUUGAAGGUACCUCAAUUUAUCAGAAAGCCACUCGAGACCAUCAGGAAAAUGUACAUUGCAUAUGCUCCCGUUGGAUAUAUUAUGAAUCUUAAGAUAUCUUAAGUUUGCCAUCCUUCUAAAGGAAUCAGACUUCAAGUAUAGAUCCCCAACUUCCGUAGUAUCGAAUAUUAUACCUUCCACAACUUCAGUUCCCUGACAACAAAAAUUAGAUUAAUAAUUAGGAAAGGCUGUCAUAUGUACUUUCAUUGUUAUAUUUUAUAAUUACAUACAUAUAUUUUCAUAUAUAUAUAUAAGUGAUUGCAUCCUCUGCUUACCUUGUUUUCUUUUAAUAUAUCAGAUAUUUCUUUAGCUCUCCACAACCGACUUCGUUUUCCAGGGUUUAUAGAUUCUUGAUUAACAAUCUCCCGUCCCAUUUCUUGUAACAAAUCAUGCAUAUGUAAACUAUCAACUUCAAACUUGGCAUACGAGUGCCAAUUUGGUUUUACUUGUAUGAGAGCUUUAUCUAAAAGGACUUCUAUCCCACUUUCUGCAAAGAACUUACAAGCUUCCAACAAAUCUAUUAUAAAUAUUUUAUGCUCUCCUCUCAAAAAGCAUGCAAUAUCUAAAAAUAUGGCCUUUUAAAAAAAAUCUAAGUCAUCAUAACUGAAUUUUAACACGGUAUAAAUUUUCCUAUUUGGAAUCUUUUCGAGCUUUUUCAAUUCAUUUUCCCAUGCCUCUUUGCCUCUUGAGCGGAGAUUUUCCCCUAAAACUUUUAAAGCCAGAGGAUUGCCUUUGCAAUAGGCAAUUACACUUUCUGAUAGAUCUUCACAUCCAAUUUUAGACUGUUUUUCUCCGAAGGCAUUCAAACUGAGUAGCUGAAGAGAAUCAUGGUUGUUCAAUUCCUUGACCUCAUAUAUCUCACAUUUACUGAACUGACUAAAUAUGUGCUUAUCUCUAGUUGUCAUAAUGACCCUACUACCCGGUCCCAGCCCAUCAAUUUUUAGGAUAAGAUCUUCUAUUUGCUCUAAGGUUUCUCUGCCAUCCAACACAAUUAAAACUUUUUUACGUGAAAUCCUUCUCUUGGAGAAAGUGGCUUCUAUGUAGGAUGCAUCAGGAUGAAUAUUUUCCUCCUCUAACAAUGAGGAUAAAAGUUUAUUGUAUACAACAUUAUGUCCAUACCUGUUUGAUUCAUCAAUUACAUUGAGAAAGCAACAACCUUCAAAUUGAGAAUAAAUUAUAGCAUAUGAAGCCCUAGCAAGAGUGGUCUUUCCUAUGCCACCCAUGCCCCAUAUUCCAAGGACUCUAACAUCAUUUGAGCCAAUUUUCAGUAUUGACUCAAUUUGGUCAUAAUUUUUCUCAACUCCAACAAGCCCCUUAAUUUCACAUGGGUAUCUAAGAUUCAGUUUCCGCAAAACAUUUUUAACAAUGUCCUUAAUGAAGUCCGAUUCGAUCCUAGAAUAUGAACGAGGGGAAGAAGAUUUUACAAGUCUAACAAAUACAAUAGUAGAAAAGUACAUCUAUAUGAUUAGUAUACAAAAUUUAUAGUCAAUAAGGUGACAGUGGCUUAGUAGAGCAAGAAACAAACAAAAAUUAGAUUUGGGGAAACAAAAUACCAAAGACACAAGGUAAUAAAUGUAUAUUUUCUAUGACUUUGGUAGUUUUCAGAAGGUUGUGUCAACUAUUACUUUGGCCUGUUUAUUUUCAAAAAUUAUUUUUAGUGUUUGUUUUCUAAAAUUUAUGUUCAUUUCCAAUUAAGAAUAUGGAGAUGAAAGACUCAUGUAGUAAAUAGCUGUGCUAUAUUAGAAAACAAAACAUGUAAAUGAUAUGAAAUAGUUUAUUUAUUUUACUUCGAAUUUUUUCGUUUUGUUUACCUGUAAUUUUGAGAGUCCCAACCAACUAAACUAGCUGCCUCAGUGAGUGCAUCUUUCCAUUCCUGUAACUUGUCAUUAUUGCUCUUCAAAUCUCGCUUAUGUUUUGCGAAGGCUUGCUUGUAACUCCCAGUCUGCUUCCUCACAUGUGAUGGAUCUAUGUUGUAAAAAACAGGUAUCACAAUCUGUACCAUAUAUUUCUUGCAUUCAAGAAUCUUUUUGAGCUCAUUCAAGCACCAUUUUGAGGAAGCAUAGUUUUCUGAGAAGAUGACAAUAGACACAUGUGACUCCUCAAUGGCUCUGAUGAGUGCUGGCGAUAUCUUAUCUCCUUUUUGAAGCUCAUUGUUGUCUAUAAAGGUUUCAACUUUCUUUCGGCUCCGAGCAUCAUAAAGAUGGCAUGUGAAGUUUCUGCGGGUAUCCUCACCUCGAAAGCUAAGAAAAACGUCAUAUUUUUUCACAGAUGCCACAGAAGAAGAAAAAACACUGUUUGUUUGCUUCCUAGCCAUUAUGAAUUCCAAGCGCUGCGCUAAUCACAAUGCUACACUCAAACAUAAAAAAUAUUUGAUGUUUAAAUUUGUUCUCGGUUACUUUUUGUACUGGCACUCGUGAUAGUGUUACAUAUUGAGAUUUAUAAAUCAGAUUGACAUCAGAUCAGGCAGUUCAAAGUCCACAUAUUGCUCAUAUAUCGACCUAGGUAAUGUGUAUUUUUUGAUCUAGGAAAGCNACAAUUGUAAAUCCCGCCUUAUUUGCUUGACGACGCACCCACUCAAGCAAUUCAUCUCUAUCUUUCGACAUAACGUCGUCUGACAAAAAAACUAGCCGUGUCGACCUCGUGGGCUUGAAGUGGGAGGACACCGGAGCCGCCAACAUACUUUGAAGCUUCAACAUGGAAGGAAGCUCCAUCAAUGUUUGAUUUCGCUUCACUUUAGGCGGUUUGACAUCUCCGGAAAUUUCGACAAAAUUUUGUUUUGUCUCUCCCGAAACAUCUUCCGCGUUCUCUACCAUUACUAUAAUUAAACAACACAUAAAUAUGAAUUAACAACUAACUAAUGUAUAAACAUCAAUGCCAUAAUGAAUUAAAACAAAAAAACAAAAAAAAGAAUUUUUUUUUUGAAAAACUGGCAGUAGCUGCCAUUUUUUCGAUGUGAAAAUUUUUCACAAGAGUUCCUCGGCACCUUACUACCGAGGUUUUCCUCGGCACUACACUAUCGACGUUUUCCUCGGCAAUUAACUGCCGAGGAUUCCCAUGACAAGGUUCUAUGUAACUGACGUAGAUACCCAUAAAAUAGCCCAAAAAUCAAUCGAAUAAAAUGCACAAUACCUAUUUUUUACGUCAAAACUGUGUUGAUACCUCCUAUGCUUGAUGCUUGAAUGAUUUUGGAUCAAUAAUUGAUUAAAAAAAAUGGAUUUUGGGAUUGAAUAAUGGAGGUGGAAAUGAAGUUGAUGAAGAAAAUAGUGUGUAGGGGGAGCAGGUGGUUGUUUCAUCUGAUGAAACAUUCUCUCGGCAGUUAACUGCAGCCGGAAUUCAAAUUCCUCGGCAGUUAACUGCCGAGGGGGUAAAAUCGUAUUUUACUAGUGUGUCACAGCCUUAUCAAAUGUGGGAACAACAAUUCUCAUUUGUUUAAGGUGAUGGUGAAAAGAAGGUGAAGAAAGGGAGAAAUAAUUAGGUGUUUUUGACUCACCGUAAGAUAAAAUACACCUGUAUAAUUGAAUGAUCAUCUUUUUAAAAAAACAUAUCAAGGGUUUAAAUUAAAAAUUUUCAUAAGGUCUAUGGUGGACUACUUUUAAGAUUGAUUCACAAUAGACAUUUGGGGGUUAAACUUAACACCAAUGAUUUAUUUGGCAAACAGAAGAAAAGAUGAAGGACUUAAAGGUACGUUUUAUUAAUUUUGGGACCAAAAUGAAAAGUUAAAAUUAAUUAAGGGAUCAUUGGAUCAAAUAAACCUAACAUUAACCAAGAGGAAGAAAUUUCGGAUAACGUAUAACAAAUGAUGUUAAAGUGACGGAUUGCAUUACUAUCCAGUAACAAUAAGAUUAGCAGAAUUAAUAAUAGGAACGUAGUUUUAUAUUUGUUUGUUAUGUUCUGAGUAAUAAUAGAUAAUUUAGUUGUAUAUCCUUACAUAUAAAUAACUUCGUAUUUUUUUUUGUCAAUUGUUUAGUGGUUAAAACUCACACAUUUUUUAUUAAAAAAAAAAAAAAAACUAAGAUAAGAAAAUGGGGUUAAGAUGACCGGUUCCAAUCUACUUUCUAUCAACAAAAAAAUGGGUUUAUGCCCCGCUAAAUAAAAUAACAAUAAUAAAAUAAAUAUAAUAACCAUAUUAAUUAAUAAAUAACAAAGAUAAGAAAUGGGAUUAAGAAAGGAAGGAAGGAAAAAUCCAAAGUGUCUUCUAGGAGCAAAGGUGUCAUGACAUUAUUAUUAGUAUUUUAUGGAACAAUAUUUAGGGUAGCAUGCCUCAUUCUAGUUUAAGAAAAAAUUCAAGGUUCAAUAAAUGCUUGCAUAAAUACUUACAUACUAUUCAUUAAUUAAAUAUAAGUUGCAUUCUUACAAAAUUGCUGACAUGACAUUAUUCUUUAACAAGCAUACAAAGAAAUAUGACAUUAGAGAUAGUGACCCUUUAAGUAAAAAUAUGUACAUCCUCCGAUUAUAAAAAAAUUAAUAUUUUAUAUUCAUUCAUUAAAUUAUGUUUCAUUAAAUUAUGUAUGUGGUUAAUAAUAAAGACUAUAUACAUCAUUUAAUGAAUGAAUCUAAAAUGUUAAUUUUUGCCUAUAAUAAUAAUAUAAUAAUAAUCGGAGGAUGUAUUAUGAAUUUGUCAAUAUGCGUGGUCAGAUCAGAUGCAUAAAAAAUAAAACUUACAUUGUGAAUUCAAUUUCCUAUAUUAAAACUUACAGUGUGAAUCUAAUUUCCUGUAUUAAAACUUAAGGUGUGAAUCUAAUUUUCUAUAUUAAAGUAAAUAGUUGUUACAUGAGGUCCAUUUCUUUUUAUUUGUUUCUUACCAAUCAAUUUCAGUAACCUUUAAACAAAUGUCAUAUUGUUGAAUCGUGAACUUUCUUCACACGUUCAAUGGCUGGUCCAAUUGAGAAAAUAUUAAUGAAUACAUGCUUUGAUAAAUUAUUUAUCAAAAACUGAUUUAUAUACUUUUUAUACACAAGGAAUUGAGUUGGACAAACCCCUUCACUCCGACCUCAUCCCCCAACCUCUCUCACUGCCAAUUUCAAGUGUGUUUAGCUGAGAAAAAGUUAUGUAAUAUUUUGAGGAAAUUCAAAUUCUUUUAAAUAAAUUUUGUUUGUUUGAAUGAUUAAAUUUAGAGAAUUUAUCAUAUUAAUGAAAUUCUAUGAAGUAUUAUGUUAAGUUAAAUUGAGUGAAUUUCAAAUGAUAUCUAAGGUUUAAGAAUUUCAAAUUUCCUACUAGAUAUAUAUUUCAAAAUUUCCAAGUUGGUCCCCAUAUUUUUCAAAAAAAAUAAAUUGACCCUUAAAUAUUUAAAAUAAAUUGCAAAUUGAUCCUUACAAUUUCUUGAAAAUUAUAAAUUGACCACUUUCAAUUUUUGAAAUCUACAAAUCAGCCCUCUAUUUUUCAAUUUUCAAAUUUGGCCCAAAAUUUUAGAAUAUAUAAAAGUAAGUAGCACAAAAAUAUAACUGAAGUAUUUUAUCACUGUAUCCAAACAAAAAUAUUUAAAAAUAAAGGCAUCUAGCGUCGAUCAUCUCACAAGGUGUUGGGAUGAUUUAUACCGCCGCUUUGAAAAUUAGAACUCUAAGACUAAGAAGGAAAAGAUGAAGGGAACUUGCUACAAAUGGUAUUAUUAAUGUGGCUUGGUGGAACUCUUUACCCUUCUUUACUAGGGAUGACUUUUAUAAAGACCGCUAUGAAUUUUUAAAUUAUCGUUCUCCAUAUCUCUUUGUAUUUUAAUUUGGUUUAUGUUUUGGUUUGGUCCUCCUCUGGUACGGUUUUUCAUUUUUUCAAUAAAUUUUUAGAUCAAGCUGACAUAGGAUGUGGUGAUUUUGAAGUGUCAACAUAGUUGAGAUGUCAAACCUUCUUUUUCAUUGUUGGAGCUUAUGACUUCACCUCCAAUUGCUGAAGGCUGUAACUCAUUAUAAUUUUCCUGCCCACCAGAAUAUUGAGCACUGAAUUUUAAUUUACCAAUUUCCCUACCAUCCAGAUCUGACUUAUGUUCUAAGUUAUAUACAGGUAAGACCCCACACCCCUUUAUCCCCUCCGUUGACCACCACAAUUCUUCAUUGACAUCAUGAUCUGAAAUUAAUACAUGAUCUGAAAUUAAUGUCCCAAUAUAAUUGCAAGCAAAAGUAAAACACGUUUCAACUUCUUUGCCGUUUUCAAAGAUGACACAAUGCAGGGGGUGAUUGCAAAUAUGGAAGCCCUUAGAAAGAAUGGUGCAGAAUAUGAAACCAGACAGGUUAUAUUUUGGAAUAGGAGGAAUGGUUAUUGAAGCCUUUAUUGUUUGAAAAUCAAACUUGCGAGGAACUUGUGCUCCUGGCAAGAUAGAGAAAUAAAAAUCAUCAUGUUCAUUUGCAUGAAAAGGGUAUUUAGAGAAGAUUUGUACCAUGUUCUCAAGAAAUGACCGUUGAGUGGAGUCUGUGUCCAGAUAAGUGCAAUUAAUGGCACUCAAAGAUAAUAGGGAUGGCGGAAGCUCUGUUACAGACACAAGUUUCCUGCAAUCAUCUAAAGCUAGACUUUUUAGCAUUGAAUGGUUUUGUAUGUUCUCGGGGAGACAUUCCAUGUUGCAACACUCAUGCAAUGAGAGCCAUUUUAAAGACUGUAUGCCAUCAAGGAUAGACCACAGACUUAAUGCAUUGAUUUCUGUGCACCCUAAAAGGUCUAGCUCGGUAACAGACCCAAGUCCAUGAUCAUUUGUUAACUUAUUCCCAACAAUGUUAAGCUUGUUACACUCGGAUAGGCCAAGCGAAGUAAGUUUUCUGUUACGCCAAAUCGAUGAAGACAAUUCACGUAUAGCAGUGCCACCUAAGGUCAACUCUGUCAUUUCAUCUGAUGUCACCGAAAAUUCUGUGAGAGAUGCACAACCAUCGAGUAAGAGUUCACGAAGAGAUUUUGAAUGAAUGUUGGUUUUAAGGCUUUCAAUCUUUUUGCAGUCUCGUAAAUCUAGAUAUCUAAGAUCAGGGAGAGAAAAGAUGGAAGGAUGGAGCUGACCCAGGCUUUCACAUUGAAAAAGAUAUACUCUAUGAAGAUUUGUAGCCUUAGAUAAGUCUGGGAUCUCAAUCAGAUUUUUGGAGGAUUCAAGCCAAAGUAUGUUUAGAUUCACAAGAUUCUGUAAAAAGAAAUAAAAACACCAUUUAAAUUCAUAAAUAGAGAAACUAAACCUAAUUAAGCAUAAAUAGAGACUUUUUAAGAAUGAGCAUUAGACUUCCUCUCAUACUUCAACAAAUUAACAAGUAUAUCCAAACACAUUUGUACCUGAACUCCAUCCCAUAGCUUUUUAAGCUUGCUAUGACUCAAGUGAAGCUCUAUGAGCAUUUCAGCACAAAAGGUUGAUGGCAAAUACUCAAGACAGUAUCCUUCCCAUCGAAGAUACCUCAAUUUAUCAGAAAUCCACUCAAGACCAUCGGGAAAGUACACAUUGCACGUGUUUCCUCUAGAUUUAUUAUAGAUUUUAAGAUAUCUUAAAUUUGUCAUCCUUCUAAAGGAAUUAGACUUCAAGUAAAGAUCCCCCACAUCUGUACUAUCGAAUGUUAUCCCUUCGACAGCUUUAGUUCCCUGAUAAAAAUUAAAUUAAUAAUUAGGAAUGGUUGUCACGUAUACUUUCCUUGUUAUAUUUCAUAAUCAAAUACAUGUGUUAUUUUCAUGUAGAAGUGCUUGCAUCCUCUACUUACCUUGUUAUUUUUCAAUACAUCAGAAAUACAUCAGAUAUCUCAUCAGCUUUCCACAGUCGACUUCGUUUUCCAGGGUCUUCAGAUUCUUGAUUAACAAUUUCCCGUCCCAUUUCUUGUAACAAAUCAUGCAUUUCUAUAAUACAAACUUCCCAUUUGACAUGCAAAAUUGAACCUAGUUGAAUGAGAGCCUUAUCUAGAAGGACUUCUAUCCCACUUAUUGCAAAGAACUCACAAGCUUCCAAUAGAUCUCUUACAAAAGUUUUAUCUUUUCCAUUCAACAAGCAUGCGAUGUCUAGAAAUAUGGCCUUCUGACAAUGAUCUAAAUCAUCAUAACUCAAUUUUAACACAUCAUAAAUCUUUCGAUUGGGAAUCUUUUGGAGCUUUUUCAGUUCAUUUUCCCAUGCUUCUCGGCCCCUUGAACUGAGAUUUGCACCUAAAACUUUUAAAGCCAGAGGGUUACCUUUGCAAUAGGCAAUUACACUAUCUGAUAGAUCUUCAUAUCCAGUUUUAGGAUGUUUUUCUUUGAAGGCAAUCAAACUGAAUAGCUGAAGAGAAUCAGGCUUCUCUAAUUCCUUAACCUCAUAUAUUUCACAUUUACUCAACUGACUAAAUAUCUGCUUAUCUCUAGUUGUAAUAAUGACCCUACUACCUGGUCCUAGACCAUCAAUUUUUAGGAUAAGAUCUUCUAUUUGUUCUAAGGUUUCUACACCAUCCAAAACAAUUAAAACUUUUUUACGCCCAAUCCUUCUCUCGGAGAAAGGGGCUUCUAUGUAGGAUGCAUCAGGAUGAAUAUUUUCUUCCUCUAACAAUGAAGACAGAAGUUUAUUGUGUAGAACAUUGAGUCCAUACUUGUUUGAUUCAUCCAUUACAUUGAGGACGCAACGACCUUCGAAUUGGGAAAAAUGUUUAGCAUAUAAUGUCUUAGCAAGGGUGGUCUUUCCUAUCCCACCCAUGCCCCAUAUUCCAAGUACUCUGACUUCAUUUGACCCAAUUUUCAGCAUUGAUUCAAUUUGUUCGUAAUUUUUCUCAAUUCCAACAAGCCCCUUAAUUUCAUAUGGGUACCUAAUAUUCAGUUUCCGCAAAACAUCUUCAACAAUGUCUUUAAUGAAGUCUGGUUCACUCCUAACAUAUGAAAGAUGGGAAGAAUGUUUUACAACAAAAGAAAAAUGCAUUCAUAUAUAUGAUUAGGACAUAAUAAAAUUUAUAUUCAACAUGGUGGCAGAGUAGAGCACAUAAAGAAAAUCAAUUACGUAAGACACAGAAGAUAAUUAAUGUCUUAUUUUUUUAGGAAGUGAAAUCCUAAAGAAAAUUCCAAAAAAUUGUAUAGAUUUUAAAAAAAUUGUAUGAUAACUAUGGCCAGGCACAUCAACAUCAUUGUUUACUUUCUAAAGUUAUUAUUAGCUUUCAUUUUCUCAAAUUUAUGUUCAUUUCCAAUCACGAAUAUGGAAAUGAAAAACUUGUGUAGUAAAAAAUUGUGCUAUAUUAGAAAACAAAACUUGCAAAUCAUAGGAUAUAGUUUAUUGAUUUACUUAGGAUAGUUCGUUUUACUUACCUAUAAUUUCGAGAGUCCCAACCAACCAAAUUAGCUGCCUCGGUGAGAGAAUCUUUCCAUUUCUUCAACUUGUCAUUAUUGUGCUUCAAAUCUUGCUUAUGUUUUGCAAAGGCUUGCUUGUAACUCCCGGUCUGCUUCCUCACAUGUGAUGGAUCUAUGUUGUAAAAAACUGGUAUCACAAUCUGUUGCAUAUAUUUCUUGCAUUCAAGAAUCUUUUUGAGCUCAUUCAAGCACCAUUUUGAGGAAGCAUAGUUUUCUGAGAAGAUGACAAUAGAUGCAUGUGACUCCUCAAUGGCUUUGAUGAGUGCUGCCGAGAUCUCAUCUCCUUUUCGAAGCUCAUUGUUGUCUAUAAAUGUUUCAACUUUCUUUCGGCUCAAAGCAUCAUAAAGAUGGCUAGUGAAGUUUCUGCGAGUAUCCUCACCUCGAAAGCUAAGAAAAACGUCAUAUUUUUUCUGAGGCACCACAUCAGAAGAAACUAUAGAGGAAAAGGCACUGCUCAUUUUCGGCACGGCAGUUAUGAAUUCCAAGUGCCUGCACUGAUUAGGCCACUAAUCACAAUGCUACAAUAAAAAAGAAGUAAUGUUUAAUUAGAGAAAGUAGUAGAUAAAUUAAAAUUGAGGGAAAAAAGAUUAUACGUACCAAAGUCAGAAUCCAGCUUCAUGCAAUAGAGGAGAAGAAUACUGUAAAAGUUAUAAUCCAGCUUCCGGAAUUAAUUUUGGAUGAGCACACACAAACUCUUCAUAAUGCUUUGGUUGGUCAUGAUGUAUAUUGUAUAUAGAUGUAAUGUGUGGUUAUCCUUCAAGGAAGUUUCGUUUGCUUAAACAUUGUGUUUGGUAGAGGUGAUUUAUGAGAGAGAAAUAGGUGAGAGAGAGAGAUACAAGAGAAAUGUUGUAUUUCUUCAGUUUGCUAAUAUUAUGUUUUAAAAAAUAAUUUGUUAGUUGUCAUUAACUAUUCUGUUAUCAUUUGAAUAGGAGGAAUAUGACCGACAACUUGCCGAGGCUCUUUCUAAAGGGUUAACUGUUGAUCAUAGUUUGGCCCUCCAAAUUUGGACCAAAGUUGCUGGCGAUAAAACCAAAGGAAAAUUAUAUGGUGCCGGUAACUUGACCGCUAACUACCGGAAGGGUGUUGCAACAACCCUCAGAUUUACCCUUAAUCAUGGCGAAGGAUCCUCCCAGCAGCCUGCACUGACCCCUGAGAUGCAUGACCUUAUUCAAAGAUUGACUCAAGAGCAGCUCACCCAGCAAAUGGCGAGACAUGAGGCCGUUGUACAAGAUUUGCUUAGCCGCCAACGAACAUAUGAGGAGCAACUGGCUCAAUUUCGGCAAGCACAUGAGGAUGGGAAUUCAAGUCAGCAAGCGUCAGUUCCAGAUCCCAAUGUAGAGCCUUUUCCAAUUUAUGGCGAAGGUGGAAGCGAAGGAAGCAAGGAGAUUGAGAGCGAUGAUGAGGAGUGAAGUUGGACCCUUAUGAUGUGUUCAUGCAUGUUAUUUUAUUUUGCUUUUAUUAUCUAUGGUGUGUAAUAUUUGGGAAAGUUUGUUAUGCUUCGUGAUACAAUUGCUACUUAUUUGCUACUUAUGGUCUAUAACAUUAUUCCCUAUGAUUUUAAUUUCAUUACUGUUGGACUUAAUAUUUUGUGGGUGCUAUUACUUUAAUUUUUAUUCUUAACUACUUAUUUUAAAGCAAUUAAAUUAAAAAAACCAUGUGUUUUAAAUUAUUUUAAAUGAUUUUAAAAUAAUGAAAUUAAAAAAAGCAAUUUAAAAUCGUUUUUAAAUUUAUUUUAAUAAUUAAUUUUAAUUAUUUUAAUGAAAUUAACGUUUUUAAAAAACAAUUAAAAACCAUUUUUUAAAAAAAUUAUCUCUGCAAUUUGCCAGGGGUAUACCCCUUGCAAUACUCCUGUCAUAUUUUGGGUCAGACUGCAGCUGAUUGACAGCGCGUAAGUUCUGCAGUGCGUCAGAAAAGCCUGCAGUGCGUCAGGUAAGCAGGUUGUUGAGUCAGACAAUUAGUCAGGGCCCUGCCAGGGGUUUUUCCAGGAGUUAUAAGAGGGGUUUAGACAGGAGUGUGUCCCACGCAGAUUUGCAGCCCUGGCAUAGCAAUUUGCUAUGAGCGCAUUUGCCACUGAUUCAACUCCUCACAAAAGCCCUGGCAAAUGGCUUUUUCCCAGGGAUUCUUGCAAUUUCACAAGGAAUCCACCCCUGGCUAAUUGCAGGAUUUCUUGUAGUGUUCAAUUGUUUUUCUCUGCUAUUCUCCCUUGUUCAUAAUUGUGGUUCAAAGUACCAAAGGGAAUGGAUUAGGUAUGACAAUUUAUCAUUAAAUAUUCCAAUUUAAUAAAUGACACAUGUUGAACAUUAUUUGUUGCAUUACUUAAUAACUCUCGGAUGCCAUGCCUCAAAACACAAAUGAAUCAAAUGAUGGUAGUAUUUGGCAAAUAAUUUAUAAUAAUAUCUAGAACGAAAUUUGUUUCUUUAAUUAAUAAGACCUCCAUUGCUGCAAGUGGCAAAGUACUUGGAUCAAUUCAUUGGUUCAGGUUGUAAGGCAUUUGAUCCUUUUUAGCAAGUGAUCAAAGGUUUGAUCUCUGACUCUUGUAUAUGAAAAAAAGAAUCCAAUUAGAAGUAGAGAACUCAUCUUGUAUAUCUCACGGGUUCUCUGACGCAGAUUAAUCACCGCUAAAAUUCUUGUGUUUCUUAUCAACAUUUUCUCAUAACAAUAAGCAUUUUCCAUCAUGUUAAGUCCUUUUCUAUUUAAAAAUGAUCUGCAAUGCUAGGGAGAAUGAUAGAUGGUAAGAAACAUGGAAGUUCCCAACUUCCAAAAGAUCCUACUGAAAGGCAAUAAAUAAGCCUAUGGGUGCUCAAAUAUUGUUCUGAAUGAAAGCAAGUUGAUUACCAAAUAAACUACCCUCCCCAAGUGGAUAGCAUAGGGGCAAGUUCCCAAAUUCAAAUACAUGAAACUAGGAUUAUGUUAAUGAAUACCGAUGUGAUUACUGCAAAACGAAGAAGAACGACAAGUCAUUUAGUUACAAAGCAGAUGUUUGAAGAAAGAGGAGUUCAAGUACCAAGAAACACAACAGAAAACAACUGCAUAAAUUUAGGAAGUUUUCUGCCAUGGUAAAAGUAACAAGCAACCUAUCAUUGCACAGCUUGAUAUCACCAGUCUACUGCAUCAACACAUACUGUUGAGUGAAUGUAAUGAUGUUGUGCUCAUUUUACUUGGGAAACAGGAGAAAGAGACCAAAAAACAUUUCUGACUUCUAUUAUUCUUUUGAUCGUUUUAACAAGUGCCUCAUCAAAGAACCUGUCCAAUGUUAUUGCAACAAGACGAAUAUUAUUUUCUAGAAUCACAAGAUUUUUGAAACAAUUCUUCAUUUUGAAGAUUUUUCAAUUAAAAAAAAAACUAAUAUGGAAUGUAUAACUAGAGAGUGGGUUUUGAGUUUCAUACCUAUUGAACAAGAAGGUUGUUCUUGGUAUUCUUCAUUAUCAUUGUUAGAGCUUCCGACUUCACCUUCAAUUUUUCUUGGCUGUCAUCAAUAUCAUUUUUCAAAUCAAAAUCAAAUUCACCAGAGUCCUGAGCACUGGAUUUUAAUUUUGAUUUAACUAUUUCCUCACGACUACUACUUAUAACAUACAGCUCCGACUCACUUUUCAAGUCAUAUACAGGUAAGACUCCACACCCCUUUAUCCCCUCUGUUGACCACCACAAUUGUUCCUUUUGACCUUGAAGUAGGAACUGAAAUGAUAGGUUGCAAAAGUCAUGACUUCCAGUUUCUUGUUUGUUGUAACCAUUCCAGCAUAUCAAUACAUGAUCUGAAAUUAAUGUCCCAAGAUAUUUGCAACUAAUACGACAUCUGUCGACUUCUUUGCCAAAGUUGCAUGCAACUUCUACACCUGACAAGAGAGAAAAAUGACGAACACCAUCUUCAUCAGGAGUGUCUUUAGAGAAAGUUCGUACCAUGUUCUCAAGCAAUAACCGUUGAGUGGAGUUCAUAUCCAGAUAAUUGCAGUUAACAGCUGUCAAAUAUAACAGGGAUGCUGGAAGCUCUGCUAGAGACACAAGUUUCCUGCAAUCAUCUAAAUCAAGCCAUUUUAGGAUUGAAUGGUUUUGGAUAUUCUCGGGGAGACUUUCUAAGUUGCAGCACUCAUUCAAUAUUAGCUGUUUUAAAGAUUGUAUGCCAUCAAGGAUGGACCAAAGACUUAAUGCAUUGAUUUCUGUGCACCCUGAAAGGUCUAGCUUUGUAACAGACCACAGUCCAUGAUCAUCUCUUAACUUAUUCCCAACAAUUUUAAGCUUGUUACACUCAGAUAGGCCAAGCCAAGUAAGUUUGCUAUUGCGCCAAAUCGAUGAAGACAAUUCACGUAUAGCAGUGCCGCCUAAGGUCAACUCUGUCAUUUCCUCCGAUGUCACCAAAAAUUCUGUGAGAGUUGAACAACCAUCGAGUAAGAGUUCACGAAGAGAUUUUGAAUGAAUGUUGGUUUUAAGGCUUUCAAUCUUUUUGCAACCUCGUAAAUCUAGAUAUCUAAGAUCAGGGAGACAGAAGAUGGAAGGAUGGAGCUGACACAGGCUUUCACAUUGAAAAACACUCCAUGAAGAUUUGUAUCCUUAGAUAAGUCUGGGAUCUCAAUCAGAUCUUUGGAGGAUUCAAGCCGGAGUAUGUUUAGAUUCACAAGAUUCUGUAACAAUAAAUAAACAUGACAUUGCUUAGAAACCAUUAAAUCCAUAAUUAAGCAUAAAUAGAGACUUCUUAAGAAUGUGCAUCAGACUUCCUCUCAUACCUAAAUAAAUUAACACGUACGUAUAUCCAAACACAUUUGUACCUGAACUCCAUCCCAGAGCUUUUUAAGCUUGCUAUGACCCAUGUGAAGCUCUAUGAGCAUUUCAGCACAAAAGGUUGGUGGCAAAGACUCAAGGCAGUAUCCCUCCCACAUAAGGAACCUCAAUUUAUUAGAAAGCCACUCAAGACCGUCGGGAAAGUGCACAUUGCAUGUUCUCCCAUUAGAUAUAUUAUAGAUUUUAAGAUAUCUUAAGUUUGUCAUCCUUCUAAAGGAAUCAGACUUUAAGUAAAGAUUCCCAACUUCUGUACUAUCAAAUGUUAUACCUUCCACAACUCCCGUUCCCUACCAAACAAAAAUCAGAUUAUUAAUUAGGAAAGGAUGUAAUAAAUGUUUGCUUGUUAUAUUUCAUAACCACAAACAUGUGUUUUCAUAUGGAAGUAAUUGCAUUGUCUACUUACCUUGUUUUUUUUCAAUACAUCAGAUAUUUCUUCAGCAUUCCACAAUCGACUUCGUUUUCCAGGGUUCUUAGAUUCUUGAUUAACAAUCUCUCGUCCCAUUUCUUGUAACAAAUCAUGCAUUUCUAUACCAUCAACGUCCGACUUGACAUAAACAUGCCAUAUUUUUUUUAGUUGUAUGAGAGAUUUAUCUAGAAGGACUUCUAUCCCACUUACUGCAAAGAACUCACAAGCUUCCAAAAGUUUUCUUACGAAAGAUUUACUCUCUUCUCUCAGCAAGCAUGCGUUGUCUAGAAAUAUGGCCUUUUGACAACAAUCUAAGUCAUCAUAACUCAAUUUUAAUACAUUGUAAAUUUUCGUAUUGGGAAUCUUUUGGAGCUUUUUCAAUUCAUUUUCCCAUUCAUCUUUGCCUCUUGAACUCAGAUUAGCACCUAAAACUUUUAAAGCCAGAGGAUUGCCUUUGCAAUAGGCAAUUACACUCUCUGAUAGAUCUUCAUAUCCAAUUUUAGGAUGUUUUUCCUUGAAGACAGUCAAACUGAAUAGCUGAAAAGAAUCAUGAUUAUUCAAUUCCUUAACCUCGUAUAUUUCACAUUUACUGAACUGACUAAUUAUGUGCUUAUCUCUAGUUGUAAUAAUGACCCUACUACCGGGUCCCAGCCCAUCAAUUUUUAGGAUAAAAUCUUCUAUUCUCUCUAAGGUUUCCACGCCAUCCAAUACAAUUAUAACUUUUUUAAGCGCAAUCCUUCUUUCGGAGAAAGGGACUUCUAUGUAGGGUGCAUCAGGAUGAAGAUUUUCUUCCUAUAACAAUGAAGAUAAAAGUUUAUUGUAUACAACAUUGAGUCCAUACUUGUUUGAUUCAUCCAUUACAUUGAGGAAGCAACGACCUUCGAAUUGGGAAUAAAGUUUAGCAUAUAAAGUCUUAGCAAGGGUUGUCUUUCCUAUGCCACCCAUGCCCCAUAUUCCAAGGACUUUAACAUCAUUUGACCCAAUUUUCAGCAUUGAUUCAAUUUGUUUAUAAUUUUUCUCAAUUCCAACAAGACCCUUAAUUUCAUAUGGGUAUCUAAGAUUUAGUUUCCUUAAAACAUCUUCAACAAUGUCCUUAAUGAAGUCCACUUCAAUCCUUGCACAUGAAGGAAGGAAAGGUCUUACAAGUCUAACAAAUACAAUAGAAGAAAAAUACAUCUAUAUGAUUAGUAUACAAAUUUGUAGUCAACAUGGUGGCAUUAACAUCUAUUUUUUCUACGAAGUGAAAUCCUAAAGAAAUUCCAAAAAAUCAAAAAUCAAAAAAAGGUUUUUAUGCUACCCAAACGAUAAGAUGAUGUAUUCUUUGUAUUUAGAUUUAAGAGUAUCAAUUGAGUGAUAAGUGUAUGCAGGGUACAAGAAUAUGUUGACUUUGAAGACUCCUACCCUCUUCCCAAUAGUAAAUAACUGUGCUAUAUUAGAAUACAAAACAUGCAAAUGAUAGGAAAUAGUUUAUUGAUUUUACUUUGAAUUUUGGAAACAUACAAGUGAUGAACAUAUCCAAAGCUGGAUAGUUUGUUUUAUUUACCUAUAAUUUUGAGAGUCCCAUCCAACUAAAUUAGCUGCCUCAGUGAGAGAGGCUUUCCAUUUCUCCAACUUGGCAUUAUUGUGCUUCAAAUCUUGCUUAUGUUUUGCAAAGGCUUGCUUGUAACUCCCGGUUUGCUUCCUCACAUGUGAUGGAUCAAUGUUGUAAAAAAUAGGUAUCACGAUCUGUUCCAUAUAUUGCUUGCAUUCUAGAAUCUUUUUGAGAUCAUUCAAACACCAUUUUGAGGAAGCGUAGUUUUCUGAGAAGAUGACAAUAGACACAUGUGACUCCUCAAUGGUUUUGAUGAGUGUUGGUGAGAUCUCAUCUCCUUUUUGAAGGUCAUUGUUGUCUAUGAAGGUUUCAACUUUCUUUCGACUCAAAGCAUCAUAAAGAUGGCUUGUGAAGUUUCUGCGAGUAUCCUCACCUCGAAAGCUAAGAAAAACGUCAUAUUUUUUCGGAGGCCCCACAUAAGAAGAAGAUAUAGAGGAAAAAGCACUGCUCAUUUUCUGCGCGGCGGUUAUGAUUUCCAAAUGCCUGCACUAAGCCACUAAUCACAAUGCUACAAUAAAAAAAAGUAUUGGGCUUCAUAAAUUUGAUUAUCAUUUGGAAUCAUUUUUGGCAGCAUAACAAAAAGAAUGGCAACAUUCAAAGCGAGCCUAACAAAAAUAAGGCAAAUUCUAUAUUACACCCAAUAUAUUUGAGUGUAUCGGUACAUCCACUCUUUAAAUUAAUAGUUAAAUGAGUUUUUUUUUGAAGAAAAAUAUUAUUUUUUAUCAUUUAUUAUUAUAAUAACUAAAUCUUAUUCAUAAAAAAUAUCAACAAAAUAAAAUUAUUAUUUUUUGAAUUUUUAUUGCUCAUAAUUUAUAACAUUUAUUAUUUUUUACGAUAAUAUGUAAAAAAAAAUACUAUGAUUGUCAUAAACAAUGAAAUGAUUUUUUUUUUUUUUAUGAACUGAUGUUAUAUAAAAUAUAACUAUUGACAAAGAGCUAUUUAUUACAUAAAAAAUUAUCGUUAAUUUAUAAAAUUAUGAAGAAGGAGUACCGGUACACCUCACUUUGUGAGUGUACCGUAGAAGUUUCCCAACAAAAUAAUUACAAUAAUAUAGAUGAAUGUCUUGAGACAAUUUAUUUUUGGCGAUUACUUUCUCCACCCUAUAAGGUUCUCACACGUCCUUUUUUUUUUCUUUCCAAAUUGCCCCUUAGAUUUUAGAAAAUGAAAACCAAUUCCAAAUAUAAAUUCCGAAACAUUUCGCUUUAUAAAAGCAAGAUCAGCAACUUCCACCAUUUUACAGUUUUAGUUUUACAAUUUCACUUUCUCUCUCUCUCUCUCACCGAUCCCAUAAUCCUAAAAUAUUGGUCCAAUCUUUGAGUUUUUUUUGCUCAAAAUCAUCACAUUUGAAGCUUUAUCAAACCCCAUAGUGAAGGUUAGGUCUCAUUCCAUCUGCAUACAAGCCUUUGAGUUCGAAUAUUUUUUUUGUGGCAACUGAAUAUGUUUGGAUUAUAAAAUCCAAACUGGAUUGUUGAAGUUCAGAUUUUAUAAUCUGAAGUGUACCUGUAGGCAGAUUUUUGGACAAUUUUGUGGAUUUAUAUUGAUUGCGUUUUACCUGGUUAUGCAUGUUACAAGCAUGGAUCGUGUUGGGCGCACCGUGGGUGAUGGAGAAGCAAUGCAUGUUUAUGUUUGGAGAGAGCGUUUGGAGAGGUUGCAAGCGGAGGGGAGAGUGCCCAGGCGUGGCAAGGGCAGGGAAAGGGCACGCCGUGGUGAUGCUGAUGGCGAGGGAACAUCUCAGGGGAACUAUAUUGAGCUUGAGCCACAGAGGGAGAUAAGAGAAGGUGGAGGGUGAUGUUGAGCAACAGGAGGAGGGUGAUGAAGAGCAGCAUGAGCGUGUGCAGCCAAAGCCAAAGGAGCUUGAUCACUAUCUUGGUGGCCCACACGACUUGACUGUGCUGACCAAGUACCAUGUUCACGUGGUCAGGAUGGCAGUUGAUGAAGUGGUAAGACACUGCACCUUUAAUUUAAUGAAAAUUGAAUUUUUAUGUUUAAUUAAUAAUAAUUGUAAACUUUUUGUUAAUUUUUGUCAUGUAUUAUUUCGAUUACUGUGAAACUGAUGUUAAUUUUUUGUUUUAAAUUUUAGCAGUGCGGUGACAAUUUAAAAUGUGUAAACAACAGGAAGAAGAUAGAAGCGAUACAUAAACCAAAGGUUUAAAUGUAUUUCAUCCUUGCAAUUAAGGGUCGUUUAAAAAUUGGUCCCUGUAUUCGCUAAUCCUUGCAAACUAGCCUUGCAAUAAUUAAUCAUUUAAAAUUUCGUCCUUUGACCAACUUAAUCACUGCCACGUCACUAAUUUGAUGACGUGGCAAUCACUAUCACACAUGAAAUUCCAAUUUUUCUCUUAAGAAGAGGACAAAAUAUUGAAGAAAGAAUUAGAAACUCAGGGGUAAAAUUGGAAUUUCAUGUGUGACAGUGAUUGGCACGUCAUCAAAUUAGUGAUGUGGCAGUGAUUAAGUGGGGAGAGGGACGAAAUUUUAAAUGAUUAAACAAUGCAAGGGUAAAUUGCAAGGAUUAGCGAUUACAGAGACCAAUUUUUAAACGACCCAUAAUUGCAAGGAUGAAAUACAUAUUUAAGCCUAAACCAAACAAGACUCUGAUGGCAAGACUGUGUGGUUUAAGCAUGGGCUGAAAGUCACUGGUCUUCGGUGGCUGCAGGAUAUCAGCUACAGCCAGAUUGAACACGGGCUUUGUUCUGCAAUUGUGGAGAGAUGGCACGAGGAGACAUCGAACUUUCAUCUUCCGUUUGGGGAUAUGAUAGUGGCACUGGAUGAUGUGUCAUGUUUGCUGCAUCUCGCCAUCGAGGGUAUGCUCUUGUCCUAUGAAAGUAUGUCAAGGGGUGAUGUUGUUGAGUUGUUGAUGGAAUUGUUGAGGGUUGAUGCGGGCGAGACAUGGACCGAGGUGGAAAAGAAAAAAGGUGGACAUGCACGGUUUAACUUCUUGAAGGAUAUAUACUUUCAAGGAGCAUGUUCGGGAGGCACAUGAGGUCUACCAUGCUGGUCAGUUUGUUGAGAUGCAGCAGCGGGAGUAUUUUCCAACAGAAGGUAUGGCCUAAACUAAUUUUAUCAAUUUAUUUAUUUCAAAUUCUAUGAUCAAUUUGAAAAUGACCUAUGUAAUUAGAGAAACUAGCAGUUAAAUUAAAAUUGAGGGAAAAAAGAUCAUACCAAAGUCAGAUCAAUCCAGCUUCAUGCAAUAGAGGAGAAAAAGACAGUAUGGCUUAGCUUCUGGUGGAAUCAAAUUUGGAUGAAAAUUAAUUAAGGAUAAACACACACAAACACUUCAUAAUGCCUUGGUCCUGAUGUAUAUACAUGUAAUGGGUCAAAUUUAAAAUAUAAAAUAACAAGUGUGGCUUAGCUUGCUUCCUUUUUGAUGGAGACUACUAGAUAAACUAUGGAAUUGGAUUUCAGAUUAAAAUAUAUGCAAAAUUAAGCUUGUUGUCCUUCAAUUUUGAGUCAUUUUUCAGAUUAUACCUAUUCACGUAUGUAAACACAAGUUAAUUACAAUAGGUGAGUUGCUGAGUGAAAUGUCUUAGGUGCAAUUCCAAGAACAAUUAGAUUAUACCUAUUAAGCUUGUUGUCCUUUAAUUUUGACUAUUUUUCAGAUUAUACCUUUUAGUUUUUCUUUCUUCCUUGAAUAGUUUCUUCAAAUAUUUAUAAUUACCAACAGAAGGUAGAGCCUUGGACUUAUACAAUAUAUAAGUGGCUUAGAUGUAUUCUUGUCUUUCGUUGGUCUAUGAAAUCGUAAAAACAAACACUUUCGUAUAUUUAAUUAAAUUUAAAGGUAAAGUAAAACAUUAAAUUAAUUUUAAAAUCCCUCCCCUCGUGAACCACAUCAAUUAAUGUUUUUAUUUUUUGUGGAAUUUCUAAAUGUUUUAAUUGAUUAGUUUUUUUUUUAAAGAAUGUUUUGAUUGAUUAGUUGUGUAUGUACAAAGCUGUUUUAGACCGUCGACUCGUUAAUCUUAAACCCUUAACAAAAACUGAUUUAGACCGUCGACUCGCUAAUCAAACCAAGUAAUUAAAUUAAAAAAUUACUUUCUGUUGGAGAAAAGAUACUAUUUGGAAUAUGCAUUGGAAAUAAUGAGUAGCAGAGAGAUUACAAACACUAUAUUAUUUUGUGGGAAAACCAAGAUCUUUGAUCUGUAUCAUUUAAAAAGGAAAGACCAUUAACAGAACCAUUAUUAUUCUUCUUAUCUUUAUUUCUUAUGACUCAAAAUCAUGAAACUCAAGUAGCUACUGCAAUAGGGAGAAAAAGAGGAAGAAGACCGACAAUUCAUUUAAUGACGAAGCAGAAGAUGUUAGAAGAAAGCAGCAUUGCUAUCUUCAAUGAUCAAGAACAUUGACACUGUGAUGUGAUCCUAAAAUUCUCUCUCUUGACAAGAAUAAUAAAGUCAUUGUAGAAUAAAAGAACCAAAUUAAUUUUGGGUUCAAAGUUUUAUUUUCGUAGGUCAUUAUAUGUCUGUCUUGUUUUGGCUAUAUCUGGAGCUCUGGAUAUCCGUUUGAGGUGAUCUUUAACUCGUUGGAAAGCUUACGAAAUUCUCUACAUUUCAUCUGUUUGAUUCAAGAGCAAAUUCGGAAUAUUUAAUGGUGCAGAAUGAGCUGUAGGUAGAAGACGUGGUUAAAGUAUGUUAGCUGAAGAAUUAAAGGUGGUGUUUGUGGAAUUGUAACGUCUAGCCAUAAUAAGCCUUCACAAAUCAAUGUGCAAAUGAAUAUGUAACCUUCUCAUGCAUUGAUCAACCACCAACUUUAAAGAUCCAAUUAAAUUGUAACCUCUUUUGUAAUAACUAGCCACCUAGGAAUUAUAACACUAAUUAUGCUAUGAUUGUAAGUUUUUCAGCUUCCAAGCCUAUUUCCUAUAAAAAGGGGGCGAAAAUAAUGAAGGGGACAAGUUGAAUUUAAAAAAAAUAAAAAAUAAAUAGAGAAUUUUAGGAUCACAUCACACUGCUAAGGAAAAUGAAUGGGGAUCUUUACACAAAAUUAUGAAACGCUGCAAACCUGGUUAUAGCUGACUACUUAUACCAACAAUAAAAACAGGAUCAGAUUGAUUAAUACCAGCAAUCACAGCACAGAACUGCUGAAUAAAAUUAGGAAUACUUCUGCAAAGGUAUAAAUUAUAAAGUUUAAAUAUGCCUUUAGUCCUUGCACUUUUAUCAGAUUUUGGCAUUGGUCCCUACACUUUUUUUUGUUUGGAAUUGGUCCCUGCACUUUGUAAAAAUAUUGGUAUUGGUCCCUGCACUUUGUAAAAAUAUUGAUAUUGGUGCCACGUGGCGUGAAAUGAUUGGGCCACGUGGCACUCCGUUGAUUUUGUGUUUUUUUUUUUAACAGAAAGUUAACAGGGGGUCAAUACCAAUAUUUUUACUAAGUGCAGGGACCAAUGCCAAAAUCUGAUGAAAGUGUAGGGACCAAUGACACAUUUAAACCAAAUUAUAAUUAGCACAACGUAUCAUUGCACUUAGGCAUUUAAAUGAUGAAUUUAAUACCAGUCUACUGCAUCACCGAAUCUUUCUGAAUGAAUGCGAUGAUGUUGUGCUUAUUGUAUUUGAGAAACAGGAGAAAGAGAUUACAAUAUUUCCGACUUGUAUUAUUCUUUUGACCCUCUUAGCAAGUGCCUCAAAAAAAGACCUGCCCAAUAUGUUGUUUCAGCAUAAAGUUAUUGCAAUACACCGAGCAUUAUUCACUUGAAGGAUUAAAAUUUUCUAUUAAAUAAAAAAUAUUGAAUCUAUAAUUAUAAAGUCGGUUAAAACUUCAUACCGAUUGAACAAGAAGGUUGUUCCUCUUUGCAUGAAUAGGAAGGUUGUUCCUGGUUAUCUUCAUUUUCAUUGUUAGAGCUUCUGACUUCACCUCCAAUUGCUAUAGACACAUCAGAGUCUUGAGCAAUGGAUUUUAAUUUACCAAUUUCCUUACUAAUGAUACUGCUACCACCACCUUCCAACUCACGUUCUAAGGCAUAUACAGGUAUGACCCCACACCCUUUUAUCCCCUCUGUUGACCACCACAAUUCUUCAUUGGGACCUUGAAGUAUGAAUUUAAAUGAUAAGUUACAAUCAUAACUUCCACUUUCUUGUAUGUUGUAACCAUGCCAACGCAUCAAUACAUGAUCUGAAAUUAAUGUCCCGAGAUAAUUGAAUCUAAUGCGACGUCUGUCGACUUCUUUUCCGCAUUCAAAGAUAAUACAAUGAAGGACAUGGUGGUUAACAGUGAAGCCCUCAGAAAAAAGGAUGCAAAAUAUGAAACCACACAAGUCAGAUUUAGCAAUAGGAAGAAUAGUUAUUGAAGCCUUGAUUGUCUGAAAAUCAAAAUUUAAUGGAAUUUGUGCUCCUGGCAUGAAAGAGAAAGGACGGAUAACACCUUCAUGUUCAAUAGAAGGGUCUUCACAGAACUUUUGUGCCUUGUUCUUAAUCAAUGAAAAUUGUGUGAAGUAUGUGUCCAGAUAUGUGCAAUUAACGGCUGUUAAAUAAAACAGGGAUGGCGGAAUCUCUGUUAGAGACACAAGUUUCCUGCAAUUGUCUAAUUCAAGCCAUUCUAGCAUUGAAUGGUUUUGUAUGUUCUUAGGGAGACAUUCUAAGUUGCAACACUCAUUCAAUUUUAGCCGUUUUAAAGAUUGUAUGCCAUCAAGGAUGGACGACAGACUUAUUGCAUUGAUUUCUGUGCACCCAGAAAGGUCUAGCUCUGUAACAGACCCCAGUCCAUGAUCAUCUGUUAACUUAUUCCCAACAAUAGUAAGCUUGUUACAUCCAGCUAGGUCAAGAACAGUAAGUUUGGUAUUAUGCCAAAUCGAUGAAGUCAAUUCAUGUAUAGAAGUGUCACGUAAGGAUAAUUUUGUCAUUUCCUCCGAUGUCACUGAAAAUUCUGUGAGAGAUGAACAACCAUUGAGUAAGAGUUGACGAAGAGAUUUUGAAUGAAUGUUUGUUUUAAGGCUUUCAAUACUUAUGCAACCUCUUAAGUCUAGAUAUUGAAGUUGAGGGAGAGAAAAGAUGGAUGGAUGGAGUUGACGCAAGCUUUCACAUUCCGAGAGAAGUACAACAACAAGAUUUGUAGCCCUAGAUAAGUCUGGGAUCUCAAUCAGAUCUUUGGAGGAUCGAAGCCAAAGUGUUCUUAGAUUCACAAGAUUCUGUAACAAGAAAUAAACAUCCAUGAGUGUUGAUUAAAAGAGAAACAAAACCUAGUUAAACAUAAAGAGAAACAUCCUAGCUCUGCUGCAAUUUAGUGAAAAACAUUUGUACCUGAACUCCAUCCCAGAGCUUUUUAAGCUUGCUAUGACUCAUGCAAAGAUAUACAAGCAUUUCAGCACAAAAGGUUGAUGGCAAAGACUCAAGACAGUAUCUUACCCAUAGAAGAUACCUCAAUUUAUCAGAAAUCCACUCAAGACCGUCAGGAAAGUACACAUUGCCUGUGCUCCCAUCAGAAUCAUUACAGAUAUGAAGAUAUCUUAAAUUUGUCAUCCUUCUAAAGGAAUCAGACUUCAAGUAAAUAUCCCCAACAUUUGUACUAUGGAACCUUAUACCUUCCACAACUUCAGUUCCCUGACAAAUAAAAAUUAGAUUAAUAAUUAGGAAAGGCUGUCAUGUGUACUUUCCUCGUUAUAUUUUAUAAUCACAUACAUGUUUUUUCGUAUAGAAAUGAUUGCAUUCUCUAGUUACCUUGUUUUCUUUUAAUAUAUCAGAUAUUUCUUCAGCUCUCCAUAACCGACUUCGUUUUCCAGGAUCUUUAGACUCUUGAUUAACAAUCUCCCGUCCCAUUUCUUGUAACAAAUCAUGCAUAUCUAAACCAUCAGUUUCCAAUUUGGCCAACGAGUGCCAAUUUGAUUUUAUUUGUAUGAAAGCUUUAUCUAGAAGGACUUCUAUCCCACUUUCUGCAAAGAACUCACAAGCUUCCAAGAAAUGUAUCACAAACAUUUUAUUCUCUCCUCUCAACAAGCAUGCGAUAUCUAGAAAUAUGUCCUUUUGAAAAAUAUCUAAGUUAUCAUAACUCAAUUUUAACAUAUUGUUAAUUUCCCCAUUUGGAAUCCUUUCGAGCUUUUUCAAUUCAUCUUCCCAUACUUUUUUGCCUCUUGAACGGAGAUUUUUACCUAAAACUUUUAAAGCCAAAGGGUUGCCUCUGCAAUAGGCAAUUACACUUUCCGAUAGAUCUUCAUAUCCAAUUUUAGGCUGUUUUUCUCCGAAGGCAAACAAACUGAAUAGUUGAAGAGAAUCAUGUUUGUUCAAUUCAUUAAACUCAUAUAUUUCACAAUUACUCAACUGACUUAGUAUGUGCUUAUCUCUAGUUGUAAUAAUGACCCUACUACCCAAUCCCAACCCAUAAAUUAUUAGGAUAAGAUCAUCUAAUUAAUCUAAGGUAUCCAAACCAUCCAACACAAUAAAAACUUUUUUAAGUGCAAUCCUUCUCACGGAGAAAGAGGAUUCUAUGUAGGAUGCAUCGGGAUGAAUUUUUUCUUCCUCUAACAAUGAAGACAAAAGUUUAUUGUGUAGACCAUUGACUCCAUACUUGUUUGAUUCAUCCAUUACAUAGUGGAAGCAAAGAACUUCAAAUUGGGAAUAAAGUUUACCAAAUAAAGUCCUAGCAAUGGUGGUCUUUCCUAUGCCACCCAUGCCCCAUAUUCCAAUGAUUAUAACAUCAUUUGACCCAAUUUCCAUCAUUGAUUCAAUUUGUUCGUAAUUUUUCUCAAUUCCAACAAGCCCAUUAAUAUCAUAUGGGUAUCUAGGAUUCAGUUUCCGCAAAACAUCUUCAACAAUGGCUUUAAUGAAGUCUGAGUCACUCCUAACAUAUGAAAGAGGGGAAGAAGGUUUAACAUGUCUACUAAAUACAAUAAAUAAACAUCUAUAUGAUUAGAAAUAUAUACAAAAUUUAUAGUCAACAUGAUGGUAGUGGCGUAGUAGAGCAAAAAAAGAAGCAAAAAUGAGAUUCGAGGAAAUGAAAUACCAAACACACAGUGCAAUUAAAGUCUAUUUUUUCUAGGAAGUGAAAUCCUAAAGAAAAUUAUAAAAAAAUAAAAGUUUUAUGAUACUCGAAGCAUGUGUUGCUACUAUUAAGAUUUUAGUGAUACAAAUAGAAUCAGCCAAAUCGAAGUAAAAAAAAUUGUGAGAUAGUGUAUGAUGACUUUGAUAGUUUUGAGAAGGUCAUCAACUAUGGCCAGGCACAUCAAUGUCAUUGUUCACUUCUCGAAAUAAUUUGGCCUGGUUUACUUUCUAAAAUUAUAUUUCGUCUUCAAUUUCUAAAAUUUAUGUUCAUUUCCAACUACAAAUAUGGAGAUGAAAGACUUAUGAAGUAAACAAUUGUGCUAUAUUAGAAACAAAACAUUCAAAUGAUAGGAAAUAGUUUAUUGAUUUUACUUACCUAUAAUUUCGAGAGUCCCAACCAACUAAAUUAGCUGCAUCAGUGAGAGCAGCUUUCCAUUUCUCCAACUUAUCGUUAUUGUGCUUCAAAUUUCGCUUAUGUUUUGCAAAGGCUUGCUUGUAACUCCCGGUCUGCUUCCUCACAUGUGAUGGAUCUAUGUUGUAAAAAACUGGUAUCACAAUCUGUUCCAUAUAUUUCUUGCAUUCAAGAAUCUUUUUGAGCUCAUUCAAGCACCAUUUUGAGGAAGCAUAGUUUUCUGAGAAGAUGACAAUAGAUGCAUGUGACUCCUCAAUGGCUUUGAUGAGUGCUGCCGAGAUCUCAUCUCCUUUUUGAAGCUCAUUGUUGUCUAUAAAGGUUUCAACUUUCUUUCGGCUCAGAGCGUCGUAAAGAUGGCUAGUGAAGUUUCUGCGAGUAUCCUCACCUCGAAAGCUAAGAAAAACCUCAUAUUUUUUCUUAGGGACCACAUCAGAAGAAGAUACAGAGGAAAAAGCACUGCUCAUUUUCUCCUCGUGACGGUUAUGAAUUCCCAGGGCCUGUACUAAGCCACUAAUCACAAUGCUACAAUAAAAAAAAAAAGUAAUGUUUAUUGUGUUCUUGAUACUUUUGACCACACUCAUUCUCGUUGUAAUUAGAGAAACUAGUUGUUAAAUUAAAAUUAAGAAGAAAAAAGAUCAUACCAAAGUCAGAAUCAAGCUUCAUGCAAGAAGACUUUAAAGUCAUAAAUCCCAACAGUAGUAUGGCUUAGCUUCUGCUGGAAUCAAUUUUAGAUGAAAAUUAAUUAAGGAUAAACACACACAAACACUUCAUAUAGAUGUAAUGAUUCAAAAUUAAAAUAUAAAAUAGUAAGUGUGGUUUCGUGGUUAUCCUUCAAGGAAGUUUCGUGGUUUUAUUUUCAGUUUUUCUUUCUUCCUUUGAAUAGUUUCUUUAAAUAUUCAAAUGUGUACGUCGUGGUGUUCUUCAGAAGGUAUGGCCAUCACAUUAUUCUUUAUAACAACCAUAUAAAAAAAAAAAUGACAUUAUGAAUUUGUCAUCAUGUGUGGUCAGAUCAGAUGCAUAAUGUGUAAGACGCCGGCUGAAUAAAAUAUGGCAACAAGAGAAUAUUUAGACAAACAAUGAUGCACAUAAUAUAGUGUGAAUCUAAUUUCCUAUAUUAAACUAAAUAGUUGUUACAUAAGGUUCCAUUUCUUUCUAUUUGUUUUUUUACCAAUCAAAUUAAGUAACCUUUAAACAAAUAUCAUAUAUAGUUGAACCGUUGAAUCUUGAACCUUAUUCACAUGUUCAAUGGCUGGUCCAAUCAUUUGUUUAAUGGUUGGUCCAAUUUAGAAAAUAUUAAUGAAGACGGCCUGCUUUGAUAAAUUAUUUAUUUAAAAACUUAUUUAUAUCCUUUUUUACUAACAAGGAAUUGAGACGUAACCAAAAAAAAAACAAGGAAUUGAGAUGGCCCUCUUCCGAUCUCAUCCCAACCCCACCAAUGGCCAACUUUAAAGCUAUGUUUGGAUUGGUAGAGAGUGGUGGAAUGGAAUUGAAUGAAGUGGGAUAGAUUCACAUUCUAUUGUUUGGUUUUGUAAAAAAAGGAAUAGAAUGGAAUGUAGUGUAAUGGAACUCAUUGCAUCCAAUACCACCUAUUUAACCAAUUUUCCAGUUCCUCCCAAUUUGGGGUGUAUGCAAUGAAAAAACAACAAUCUUCCUAGUAAAUACUAUAAAACAACAAUCAUCACCAAUGGUGGAAAUUAAUCAACAAAAAUUGAAAAAGACUUCCAUAAAAAUGAGUGCCUCAAAAGUAACCUUCAAAAGAUUCAAUUGAUAAGCAAUAAUCCAGCUUAACAUUGAGCUUCUCAUACGUAGCAUUCCAAUUUAUUAUGUCUGAAUUACAAGCAAUCAGAAGUUGAGGACAAGCCUAUAGAAGCUCAAAUUUUUCUGAAUAAAACCAUACCCUACACCGAAUUAGGGCUCUAUGAAGCCUCUAAUACUCGAAACAAUCGAAGAAGCAUUGGGGCUCUAAGACUAAGAAGGAGAAGAUGAAAAGAAACUAGCUACAAAAUUAAAACAUAUGUUUUCAUUGAUUAAUUACAUUCCUAAAGAUACAACACACUUAUCCCCUCUGUUGAACACCACAAUUGUUCCUUGUGACCUUGAAGUAGAAAUUGAAAUGAUAAGUUGCAAAAAUCAUAAAUUUCACUAUCUUGUCUGUUGUGAACAUGCCAGCAUACCAGUACAUAAUCAGAAAUGAAUGUCCCAAGAUAACUGUCACUAAUACAACGUAUGUCGGCUUCUUUUCCGUUUUCAAAGAUAAUACAGUGAACGGCAUCAGGGGCGGUUCUAAGGCCCGGCGACCCCCGGCUCCGGGCCAAAUUUUUUGUGUAAAUCCCUAUGAAUUUCUUAUAUAAACCCCUAUAAAUUGGGCAAUUUCUUUACAUUUUUUAUUAUUUGCUUGCAAUUUCUUAUGUACGCCCUAUAAAUGUGUUGCAAAAAAAUUUUCCGCCCAGGCUUUACAAUAUUCCUGGCUCCGCCACUGAACGGCAUGGUGGUAAACAUUAAAGCCCUCAGAAAGAAUGAUGGAAAAUAUAAAACUGCACAAAUCAGAUUUUGGAAUAGGAGGAAUAAUUAUUGAAGCCUCUAUUGUCUGAAAAUCAAACAUGCAUGCAAUGGAGUCUUCAGAGAAGGUUUGUAACAUGUUAUUAAAAAAUGACGGUUGAAUGGAGUAUGUGUCCAGAUAACUGCAAUUAACGGCAGGGAUGGUGGAAGCUCUGUUAGAGACACAAUUUUCCUGCAAUCAUCUAAAUCAAGCCAUUCCCAACAUUGAAUGGUUUUGGAUAUUGUCGGGGAGAACAUCUAAGUUGCAACACUCUUUCAAUUUUAGCCGUUUUAAAGACUAUAUACCAUCGAGGAUGGACCACAGACUUAAUGCAUCGAUUUCUGUGCACCCUGAAAGGUCUAGUUCGGUAACAAACCCAAGCCCAUGAUCAUCUGAUAACUUCUUCCCAACAGUGUUGAGCUUGUUACACUCAGUUAGACCAAGAGAAGUAAGUUUGCAAUUACGCCAAAUCGAUAAAGAUAAUUCACGUAUAGCAGUGCCAUGUAAGGAUAACUCUGUCAUUUCCUCUGAUGUCACCGAAAAUUCCAUGAGGGAUGAACAACCAUCAACUAAGAGAGAUUUUGAAUGAAAAUUGGUUUUUAGGCUAUGACUCAUGCAAAUCUCUACAAGCAUUUCAGCACAAAAGGUUGAUGGCAAAGAUUCAAGACAGUAUCCAUCCCAUCGAAGGUACCUCAAUUUAUCAGAAAUCCACUCAAGACCAUCGGGAAAGUACACAUUGCAUGUGCUCCCAUCAGAUAUAUUAUAGAUUUUAAGAUAUCUUAUAUUUUUCAUCCUUCUAAAGGAAUCAGACUUCAAUAAAGAUCCCCAACAUCUGUACAAUGGAACGUUAUACCUUCCACAGCUUCAGUUCCCUAAUAAAAACAUUUUUUUUUAAUAAUUAGGAAUGGUUCCCUGAUGAACUUUCCUUGUUAUAUUUCCCUGACGCAUUUUUGUUAUAAUUAGGAAUUGCAAACUCUAUUACCUUGUUGUUUUUCAAUAAUUCAGAUAUUUCUUCAGCCCUCCACAAUCUACUUCUUUUCCCAGGGUCUUUAGAUUCUUGAUUAACAAUCUCCCGACCCAUUUCUUGUAACAAAACAUGCAUUUCUAUUGUAUCAACAUCCAGAUUUACAUGCCAAAUAAGUUUUAGUUCUAUGAGAGCUUUAUCUAGAAGGACUUCUAUCCCAAUUGUUGCAAAGAAUCGACAAGCUUCCAAUACAUGUUUUACAAAAUCUUUAUGCUCUUCUCUCAACAAGCAUGCGAUAUCUAGAAAUAUGGCCUUUUGACAACAAUCUAAGUCAUCAUAACUCAAUUUUAACACAUUAAAAAUUUUCCUAUUGGGAAUCUUUUGGAGCAUUUUCAAUUCAUUGUCCCAUGCUUCCUUGCUUCUUGAACUCGGAUUUGCACCUAAAACUUUUAUAGCCAGAGGAUUGCCUUUGCAAUAGGCAAUUACACUCUCUGAUAGAUCUUCAUAUCCAAUUUUAGGAUGUUUUUCUCCGAAGAUAGUCAAACUCAAUAGUUGAAGAGAAUCAUGUUUGUUCAAUUCCUUAACCUCACAUAUUUGCACAUUUUGUGAAUUGACUAAAUAUGUGUUUAUAUCUAGUUGUAAUAAUGACCCCACUACCCGGUGCCAGUCCAUCAAUUUUUAGCAUAAGAUCUUCUAUUUGCUCUACAGUUUCUCUACACUAUCCAGCACAAUGUAAAAUUCUUUACGUGCAAUCCUUCUCACAGAGAAAGGGGUUUCUACGUGCAAUAAUUCUCACUCUGUUUUUUUAUUUUUUUAUUUUUUUUUCUUCUUUCUAAUCCUUUGAAUAUCUCCAGGUUCUUACUUUAUUGAAGGAAAUGUAACAUGAAGAAAAUAUAAGGAAAUGUAACAUGAAGCAAAAUUUGAGGAAAGAAAAGUUAGGCCUCAUCCUCAAGUAGUAGGAAUGUAGUCCAAUUUUGAUGGCAAAUUACACCCUAUUUCCAUUAACUUUUCAUCGGUAAGAACCAUGUCAUGGACGAGUCUUCAGAUAAGCAGAGACUUUGAGGGAGGAAUAUCUUUGCUCCAAAGUAGGAGCAAUGUGUUUUUUAAAAGAAUAAGUAUCUUUUAAAAGCUAAAUUUCCAUCAGAGGUUCUUUUCCAAAUCAAAGAAUCUUCACAGUCUUCAUCAGGAAUAGUUGCAGCACAAGCAAGCUAAUAGUAGGGAACAUCAACAGGACAUCACGAAGAAUGUUCCAGUGAAAAUUGGUGAAAUAGUAUUAGUCAGACACUUUUGAAGGGAAAGUGUUGAUAAAUAUAUUUUUCCUUAUAAAUAUAAAAAUAAAUAUUUGUCACCGAUACAAUAAAAAAAAUACACAAGACAAAUAUUCAUAAAAAAUUGGAUUAUUAUUUUUCAUUGAUAAACAAUCUAUGACACAAGAUAUAAACGGAGAAAUAAUUGUCACUAUUAAGCAGUAGUAAUUGACACAAGAUAUAAAUACUUUCAUGUACUUGAAGCUGCUCAUUCUAACCAAGGAAUUUCACUACUUCAACACCAAUGUUGCUCAGAUUUGUUUGCAAACUCAUGCUUACUUUGCUCAGAACCCUUCUCAACAUCCUCUGACCCCUCCAUGAAGUUACAGAAGCAUCAUAGCUCGAUAUCAAACAGUCUAAUGCAUAAACAGAUAUUGCGAUGAAGUAUUGUGCGAGAAACAAUGAGACAGAAAACGUUUCUGACUAUUAUAAUUCUUUGGACCCUCGAUAAAAUACAGCCGGUCAUUAUUUUCUAGAAUCAUGAGAAUUUUAAAACAAUUCUUCAAUUGAAGGAUUUAAAUCUUUUAAUAAAAUAAGCUAAGGUGGAAGGUAUGAUUGAAAAAGUGGAAAUUAUAUAGUGCUACAAUCAAAAUAAUUAACGGCUACUAACUAGCAUAACCUCUAGGAAUUAGAAAGCUUCUGCCUUGUUUAAAGAUACAAACAUACAAUUACACAGACUUGGGUCUAAUUACUUGGCGCCUGCGUCUAACAGAAGGUUGUUCCUCUACUUUGUAAGAAUAAGAAGGUUGUUCCUGAUCAUCUUCAUUUUCAUUGUUAUAGCUUCUGCCUUCACCUCCAAUUGCUAUAGACACAUAAGAGUCUUGAGCAAUGGAUUUUAACUUACCAAUUUCCUUACUAAUGCUACUACCCCAAUAUUCCCAUACAGGUAAGACCCCACACCCCUUUAUCCCCUCCUUUGACCACCGUAAUUCUUCAUUGGGACCUUGAAGUAUGAAUUGAAAUGAUAAGUUGCAAAUAUCAUAACUUCCAUUUUCUUGUCUGUUGUAACCAUGCCAACAUAUCAAUGCAUGAUCUGAAAUUAAUGUCCCAAAAUAAUUGUGACUAAUGCGACGUCUGUUGACUUCUUUUCCGCGUUCAAAAAUAAUACAAUGAAGGGCAUGGUGGUUAAUAGUGAAGCCCUCAGAAAAAAGGAUGCGAAAUAUGAAACCACAUAAGACAGAUUUUUUAAUAGGAAGAAUAGUUAUUGAAGCCUCGAUUGUCUGAAAAUCAAAAAUUAUUGGAUCUUGUGCUCCUGGCAGGAAAGAGAAAGCAUUUAUCACACCUUCUUCAAUAGAAGGGUCUUCAAAGAUCUUUCGUACCAUGUUUUCAAGCAAUGACCAUUGUGUGGAAUCUGUGUCCAGAUAAGUGCAAUUAACAGCUUUAAAAUAUAACAGGGAUGGCGGAAGCUCUAUCAGAGUCACGAGGUUCCUGCAAUCAUCUAAUUCAAGCCAUUCUAGCAUUGAAUGGUUUUGGAUAUUCUCUGGGAGACUUUCUAAGUUGCAACACUCUUUCAAUUUUAGCUGUUUUAAAGAUUGUAUGCCAUCAAGGAUGGACCACAAACUUAAUGCAUUAAUUUCUGUGCACCCUGAAAGGUCUAGUUCCGUAACAAACCCAAGUCCAUGAUCAUCUGAUAACUUAUUCCCGACAAUGUUAAGCUUGUUACAUCCAGUUAGGUUAAUAACAGUCAUUUUGGUAUUACGCCAAAUUGAUGAAGACAAUUGAUGUAUAUCAGUGCCACAUAAGGAUAACUCUGUCAUUUCCUCCGAUGUCACUGAAAAUUCCAUGAGAGAUGAACAACCAUCAAGUUUAAGGUUUCGGAGAGAAUUUGAAUGAAUAUUGGUUUUAAGGCUUUCGAUCUUUAUGCAACCUCCUAAAUCUAGUACAAUAAGUCGAGGGAGAGAAAAGAUGUAUGGAUGGAGAUGACGCAGGCUUUCACAUUUAUAGAGAUGUACUUUUUCAAGAUUUGUAGCCCUAGAUAAGUUUGGGAUCUCAAUCAGAUCUUUGGAGUAAUUAAGGCUAAAUGUGAUUAGAUUCACAAGAUUCUGUAACAAGAAAUAAACAUGCAUUAGUGUCGAUUAAAAGAGAAACAAAACCUAGUUAAGAAUAAACAGAAGCAUGCCAUACUAACUCUGCUGCAUUUUUGUGAAUGACAUUAGACUUCCUCUUGUACCUCUAUAAAGUUAACAAGUACAUCCAAACAUUUUGUACCUGAACUCCAUCCCAGAGCUUUUUAAGCUUGCUAUGAGUCAUGUGAAGCUCUACAAGCAUUUCAGCACAAAAGUUUGAUGGAAAAGACUCAGGACAAUAUCCCUCCCAUUGAAGGUACCUCAAUUUAUCAGAAAGCCACUCGAGACCAUCAGGAAAAUGUACAUUGCAUAUGCUCCCGUUGGAUAUAUUAUGAAUCUUAAGAUAUCUUAAGUUUGUCAUCCUUCUAAAGGAAUCAGACUUCAAGUAUAGAUCCCCAACUUCCGUACUAUCGAAUAUUAUACCUUCCCCAACUUUAGUUCCCUGACAACGAAAAUUAGAUUAAUAAUUAGGAAAGGCUGUCAUAUGUACUUUCAUUGUUAUAUUUUAUAAUUACAUACAUAUAUUUUCAUAUAUAAGUGAUUGCAUCCUCUGCUUACCUUGUUUUCUUUUAAUAUAUCAGAUAUUUCUUUAGCUCUCCACAACCGACUUCGUUUUCCAGGGUUUAUAGAUUCUUGAUUAACAAUCUCCUGUCCCAUUUCUUGUAACAAAUCAUGUAUAUGUAAACUAUCAACUUCCAACUUGGCAUACGAGUGCCAAUUUGGUUUUACUUGUAUGAGAGCUUUAUCUAAAACGACUUCUAUCCCACUUUCUGCAAAGAACUCACAAGCUUCCAACAAAUCUAUUAUAAAUAUUUUAUGCUCUCCUCUCAAAAAGCAUGCAAUAUCUAAAAAUAUGGCCUGUUGAAAAAAAUCUAAGUCAUCAUAACUGAAUUUUAACACGAUAUAAAUUUUCCUAUUUGGAAUCUUUUCGAGCUUUUUCAAUUCAUUUUCCCAUGCCUCUUUGCCUCUUGAGCGGAGAUUUACCCCUAAAACUUUUAAAGCCAGAGGAUUGCCUUUGCAAUAGGCAAUUACACUUUCUGAUAGAUCUUCAUAUCCAAUUUUAGGCUGUUUUCCUCCGAAGGCAUUCAAACUGAAUAGCUGAAGAGAAUCAUGAUUGUUCAAUUACAUGACCUCAUAUAUCUCACAUUUACUGAACUGACUAAAUAUGUGCUUAUCUCUAGUUGUCAUAAUGACCCUACUACCCGGUCCCAGCCCAUCAAUUUUUAGGAUAAGAUCUUCUAUUUGCUCUAAGGUUUCUAUGCCAUCUAACACAAUUAAAACUUUAAUUUUACGUGAAAUCCUUCUCUUGGAUAAAGUGGCUUCUAUGUAGGAUGCAUCAGGAUGAAUAUUUUCCUCCUCUAACAAUGAGGAUAAAAGUUUAUUGUAUACAACAUUAUGUCCAUACCUGUUUGAUUCAUCCAUUACAUUGAGAAAGCAACAACCUUCAAAUUGAGAAUAAAUUAUAGCAUAUGAAGCCCUAGCAAGAGUGGUCUUUCCUAUGCCACCCAUGCCCCAUAUUCCAAGGACUCUAACAUCAUUUGAGCCAAUUUUCAGUAUUGACUCAAUUUGGUCAUAAUUUUUCUCAACUCCAACAAGCCCCUUAAUUUCACAUGGGUAACUAAGAUUCAGUUUCCGCAAAACAUAUUUAACAAUGUCCUUAAUGAAGUCCGAUUCGAUCCUAGAAUAUGAAAGAGAGGAAGAAGAUUUUACAAGUCUAACAAAUACAAUAGUAGAAAAGUACAUCUAUAUGAUUAGUAUACAAAAUUUAUAGUCAAUAAGGUGACAGUGGCUUAGUAGAGCAAGAAACAAACAAAAAUUAGAUUUGGGGAAACAAAAUACCAAAGACACAAGGUAAUAAAUGUAUAUUUUCUAUGACUUUGGUAGUUUUCAGAAGGUUGUGUCAACUAUUACUUUGGCCUGUUUAUUUUCAAAAAUUAUUUUUAGUGUUUGUUUUCUAAAAUUUAUGUUCAUUUCCAAUUAAGAAAAUGGAGAUGAAAGACUCAUGUAGUAAAUAGCUGUGCUAUAUUAGAAAACAAAACAUGUAAAUGAUAUGAAAUAGUUUAUUUAUUUUACUUCGAAUUUUUUCGUUUUGUUUACCUGUAAUUUUGAGAGUCCCAACCAACUAAACUAGCUGCCUCAGUGAGUGCAUCUUUCCAUUCCUGUAACUUGUCAUUAUUGCUCUUCAAAUCUCGCUUAUGUUUUGCGAAGGCUUGCUUGUAACUCCCAGUCUGCUUCCUCACAUGUGAUGGAUCUAUGUUGUAAAAAACAGGUAUCACAAUCUGUACCAUAUAUUUCUUGCAUUCAAGAAUCUUUUUGAGCUCAUUCAAGCACCAUUUUGAGGAAGCAUAGUUUUCUGAGAAGAUGACAAUAGACACAUGUGACUCCUCAAUGGCUCUGAUGAGUGCUGGCGAUAUCUUAUCUCCUUUUUGAAGCUCAUUGUUGUCUAUAAAGGUUUCAACUUUCUUUCGGCUCAGAGCAUCAUAAAGAUGGCAUGUGAAGUUUCUGCGGGUAUCCUCACCUCGAAAGCUAAGAAAAACGUCAUAUUUUUUCACAGAUGCCACAGAAGAAGAAAAAACACUGUUUGUUUGCUUCCUAGCCAUUAUGAAUUCCAAGCGCUGCGCUAAUCACAAUGCUACACUCAAACAUAAAAAAUAUUUGAUGUUUAAAUUUGUUCUCGGUUACUAUUUGUACUGGCACUCGUGAUAGUGUUACAUAUUGAGAUUUAUAAAUCAGAUUGACAUCAGAUCAGGCAGUUCAAAGUCCACAUAUUGCUCAUAUAUCGACCUAGGUAAUGUGUAUUUUUUGAUCUAGGAAAGCUAUAGAAUAUGGCAAUUCCACGGGCCAGAUUAAUUAUUACUUCACAUUCAUAGGCUAUUUAAGUCUAGUUUUAUGUAUGGACUCCAAUCAUGUUUAACCUUGUUGCUUGAAUUGAAUUCUAGGUUUUAUCAGGGUUUCUCUUCAUUAGCCUUUUAAACAUUGAGUAGUAAUUAACAAAUAUGAAGACUAACUUAGCAUUCAUUCUUCAGAACCAAUUUGAAAGACUAAUUUGAAAUAUUUGCCAAUAUUGAUUUCAAAUUCAAGGAUAAAAUUAUGAAUAAACUACAAUUAGAGAAACUAACUAGUUAAAUUAUAAUUGACGGAAAAUAGAUCAUACCAAAGUCAGAAUCCAGCAAUAAUUGAGGAGGAAAAGAAUGUACAAUGACAGUCACAAUCCCAGCAGGGCAAUUAGCUUCUACCGGAAUCAAUAAAUAGCUUCUACCGGAAUCAAAAGCAGGCCUAACCAAAUAAUUCCAAUAAUUUAGAUGAAUGUCUUUAGACACCAAUUUUUUCAUUUUUAAGUGUUUAGGUACAACAGUUCAUAAUGCUUUGGUCGUGAUUUUAUAUGGAUUGAUCAAAAUUAAAAUAUAAAAUAACAUGUGGAUUUCAUGGUUUCCCUUCAUAGAAGUUUCGAUUCCAAUGCGUAGUCAGAUCAGAUGCAUAAAUGUGCAAGACGCCGGCUGAUUAAAAUAUGGCUACAAGAGGAUAUAUAUUUAGAGAGAAUUCAAAUCCUUCUAAGUAAAUUUUAUUGUUUGGAUGAUUAAUUUAGAGAAUUUUUUAAUUUAAUGAAAUUUUAUAAAGUAUUUUGUUCAAGUUAAAUUGAGUGAAUUUCAAAUGACAAAUAAGAUCUAGGAAUUUCAAAUUUCAAGUAUCAUUGUAACAUACAUUUUACUUUGAAAACCUGGUUACUUUUUCUUAUCUAGUUAAAAUAAAUAAAUUUCAAGUAUUGUAAGUGCUGGGUUGAAAGAGAUGUGGUUUGAUCAUUAUGUAGGAUAAAAAAAAUAAAAAAAUAAAAAAAUAAAAUAAAAAAAUCAUGAAUAAAUGUUACUCACUCCAUCUCAAAAUAUAUAAUUUGCUGAGUUUCUGCCUAAUUUCAAUACAUGAUAAUUAGUCUAACAGAUAACUUAGUCUGCAUGAUGCCAAGUUGAUUUCCAAAUUUGGCAUACGGCAUAAAAUACCUUACCUUCCCCAGUCAGUUUGGCAAAGUGGUAAGUUCUUAUUGGUUGUCAGUGUGAAAGAAAUUUACACCGACAGUGCAUGCCCCUAACUCUAUUGAUAAAUGGUAUUUUACAAUGAUCUGAGUAUAGUUUUGACAGUUGACAUCAUUGGAAUGGGAAAUUUUUAGUUGACAAUGCCAAAUACAGUAAGAACUGUAAACAAUAGAACCAACAUUAUAGACUGUUAUUUUGUGGGAAACACCAAUAUCUUAGACCUGUAUCAUUUAAACAGGAAAACCCAUUUACAGAACCAUUGUUCUUCUUAUGUUUCUUUCAUAUGACUCAACCAUGAAAAUCGAGCAGCUACUGCAGAAAGGGGAAAGAGAAACGGGAAUGAAAAUUCUUUUGGCGGUAAAGCGUAUUAUGCUUGGAGAAAGUGGCGCUUCAACCAUUAUGAUCAAGAACAUGAAACCACAAGGGAAUAGGGAUCCAUACACAAAUUGAUUAAUAUACCAACAAGUUCAGCACAAAAAAACUGAAUAAAAUUAGGAAUAUUUCUGAAAUGGUAUAAGUAACAAGCAACGUAUCACAAGAUUUUACAUGAAAAACAGGAGAAAGAGAUCACAACAUUUCUGACUUGUAUUAUUCUUUUGACCCUCUUAGCAAGUGCCUCAAAAAAAGACCUGUCCAGGAAUCAUGAGAAUUUUAAAACAAUUAUUCAUUUGAAGGAUUAAACUCUUUCUAUAUCAAAAUAAACUAAUAUGGAAUUUAUAAUUAGAAAGUAGAUGAGAAGAUUCAUACCGAUUGAACAGCAAGGAUGUUUCUGGUCAUCUUCAUUUUCAAUGUUGGAGCUUAUGACUUCACCUCCAAUUGCUGAAGGCUGUAACUCAUCAUUAUAAUUUUCCUGGCCAUCUUCAAUUUCAUUGUUAGACCAAUAAGACCUGUCAGAAUAUUGAUUACUGAAUUUUAAUUUACCAAUUUCCCUACCAGCCAGAUCCGACUUAUGUUCUAAGUUAUAUACAGGUAAGAUCCCACACCCUUUGAUCCCCUCCGUUGACCACCCCAAUUCUACGUUAUGUAUGAAUUGAAAUGAUAGUUUACAAUCAUUACUUCCAAAUUUUUCUCUUUUGUAACAAUACCAACAUAACAAUACAUGAUCUGAAAUUAAUCUCACAAUAUAAAGGGCAAAACAAAUAAUACACCUGUCGACUUCUUUGCCGUGUUCUAAGAUGAUACAAUGCAGGGGGUGACUCUGAAAAAGGAAGCCCUCAGAAAGAAUGGUGCAGAAUAUGAAACCAGACAGGUUAUAUUUUGGAAUAGGAGGAAUGGUUAUUGAAGCCUUCAUUGUUUGAAAAUCAAACUUGCAAGGAACUUGUGCUCCUGGCCAGAAAAGGUAAUUGGCAUCUUUAUUUACAUGAAAAGGGUCUUUAGAGAAAAUUUGUACCAUGUUCUCAAGAAAUGACCGUUGAGUGGAGUCUGUAUCCAGAUAAGUGCAAUUAAUGCCACUCAAAGUUAUUAGGGAUGACGGAAGUUCUGUUAGAGACACAAGUUUCCUGCAACCAUCUAAAUCAAGCCAUUUUAGCAUUGAAUGGUUUCGGAUAUUCUCAGGGAGACAUUCCAAGUUGCAACACUCUUGUAAUGUUAGCCCUUUUAAAGAUUGUAUGCCAUCAAGGAUGGACCACAGACUUAAUGCAUUCAUUUCUGUGCACCCUGAAAGGUCUAGUUCUGUAACAGACCCAAGUCCAUGAUCAUCUGAUAACUUAUUCCCAACAAUGUUAAGCUUGUUACACUUGGAUAGGCCAAGCGAAGUAAGUUUUCUAUUACGCCAAAUCGAUGAAGACAAUUCACGUAUAGCAGUGCCACCUAAGGUCAACUCUGUCAUUUCAUCCGAUGUCACUGAAAAUUCUGUGAGAGAAUAACAACCAUCAAGUAAGAGUUCACGAAGAGAUUUUGAAUGAAUGUUGGUUUUAAGGCUUUCAAUCUUUUUGCAACCUCGUAAAUCUAGAUAUCUAAGAUCAGGGAGAGAAAAGAUAGAAGAAUGGAGCUGACCCAGGCUUUCACAUUGAAAAAGAUAUACUCUAUGAAGAUUUGUAGCCUUAGAUAAGUCUGGGAUCUCAAUCAGAUUUUUGGAGGAUUCAAGCCAAAGUAUGUUUAGAUUCACAAGAUUCUGUAACAAGAAAUAAAAACACCAUUUAAAUUCAUAAAUAGAGAAACUAAACCUAAUUAAGCAUAAAUAGAGACUUUUUAAGAAUGAGCAUUAGACUUCCUCUCAUACUUCAAAAAAUUAACAAGUAUAUCCAAACACAUUUGUACCUGAACUCCAUCCCAUAGCUUUUUAAGCUUGCUAUGACUCAAGUGAAGCUCUAUGAGCAUUUCAGCACAAAAGGUUGAUGGCAAAAACUCAAGACAGUAUCCUUCCCAUCGAAGAUACCUCAAUUUAUCAGAAAUCCACUCAAGACCAUCGGGAAAGUACACAUUGCAUGUGUUUCCUCUAGAUAUAUUAUAGAUUUUAAGAUAUCUUAAAUUUUUCAUCCUUCUAAAGGAAUUAGACUUCAAGUAAAGAUCCCCCACAUCUGUACUAUCGAAUGUUAUCCCUUCGACAGCUUCAGUUCCCUGAUAAAAAUUACAUUAAUAAUUAGGAAUGAUUGUCACAUAUACUUUCCUUGUUAUAUUUCAUAAUCACAUAGAUGUGUUAUUUUGAUGUAGAAGGGAAUAGAUCCUCUACUUACUUUGUUAUAUUUUAAUACAUCGGAUAUCUCUUCAGCUUUCCACAGUCGACUUCGUUUUCCAGGAUCUUCAGAUUCUUGAUUAACAAUCUCCCGUCCCAUUUCUUGUAACAAAUCAUGCAUUUCUAUAGUACAAACUUCCCUUUUGACAUGCAAAAUUGAAUCUAGUUGAAUGAGAGCUUUAUCUAGAAGGACGUCUAUCCCACUUAUUGCAAAGAAAUCAGAAGCUUCCAGUAGAUCUCUUACAAAAUCUUUACCCUGUCCACUCAACAAGCAUGCGAUGUCUAGAAAUAUGGCCUUUUGACAACGAUCUAACUCAUCAUAACUCAAUUUUAACACAUUAUGAAUUUUUCGAUUGGGAAUCUUUUGGAGCUUUUUCAAUUCAUUUUCCCACGCUUCUUGGCCCCUUGAACUGAGAUUUGCACCUAAAACUUUUAAUGCCAGAGGGUUACCUUUGCAAUAGGCAAUUACACUUUCUGAUAGAUCUUCAUAUCCAAUUUUAGGUUGUUUUUCUUUGAAGGCAGUCAAACUGAAUAGCUGAAAAGAAUCAUGCUUGUUCAAUUCUUUAAGCUCAUAUAUUUCACAUUUACUCACCUGACUAAAUAUGUGCUUAUCUCUAGUUGUAAUAAUGACCCUACUACCUGGUCCCAGACCAUCAAUUUUUGGGAUAAGAUCAUCUAUUUGCUCUAAGGUUUCUACACCAUCCAACACAAUUAAAACUUUUUUACGCCCAAUCCUUCUCUCGGAGAAAGGGGCUUCUAUGUAGGAUGCAUCAGGAUGAAUAUUUUCUUCCUCUAACAAUGAAGACAAAAGUUUAUUGAGUACAACAUUAAGUCCAUACUUGUUUGAUUCAUCCAUUACAUUGAGUAAGCAACAACCUUCGAAUUGAGAAUACAUUUUAGCAUAUAAAGCCCUAGCAAGGGUGGUCUUUCCUAUGCCACCCAUGCCCCAUAUUCCAAGGACUCUGACUUCAUGUGACCCAAUUUUCAGCUUUGAUUCAAUUUGGUCAUAAUUUUUCUCAAUUCCAACAAGCCCGGCCUUAAUUUCAUAUGGGUAUUUAAGAUUCAGUUUCUGCAAAACAUCUUCAACGAUAUCCUUAAUGAAGCGUGAUUCAGUCCUAGCAUACGAAAGAGGGGAAGAAGGUUUGAUAAGUCUACAAAUACAAUGGAAGGAAAAUACAUCUAUAUGAUUGGUAAAUAAAAUUUAUAGUCGACAUGGUGGCACUGGCAGUUCCUUAGCAGAGCAAGAAAGAAAGAAAAUUAGAUUUGAGGAAAUAAAUACCAAUGAUAGAGAAUGUAAUUAAUGUCUAAAUUUUCUAGGAAGUGAAAUCCUAAUGAAAAUUCGAAAAAAAUAAAUAAAUGUUUUAUGCUAGAAAUAUAACACAACUGUGUGGGAUGGAUAGUGCAGAUUUCAAAAAUUGUGUGUAUGCAGGGUACAAGCAUAUGAUUAUUAAAUAGUUUUCAGAAGGUCAUAUCAACUAUGGCCAGGCACAUAAACAUCAUUGUUCACUUCUCCAAAUAAUUCGGCCUGUUUACUUUCUAAAAUUAAUUUUAGCUUUCAUUUUUUAAAAUCUAUGUUCAUUUCCAACCAUGAAUAAGGAGAUGAAAGACUCAUGUAGUAUAUAAUUGUGCUAUAUUAGAAAACAAAACAUGAAAAUUAUAUAAAAUAGUUUAUUGGUUUUACUUAGAAUUUUGAGAACAUACAAGUCAUGGCAUGUACAAAGCUCGAUAGUUCGUUUUACUUACUCAAAAUUUUGAAAGUCCCAACCGCCUAAACUAGCUGCCUCAGUGAGAGCGGCUUUCCAUUCCUGUAACUUGUCAUUAUUGCUCUUCAAAUCUCGCUUAUGUUUUGCAAAAGCUUGCUCGUAACUCCCGGUCUGGUUCCUCACAUGUGAUGGAUCUAUUUUGUAAAAAACUGGUAUCACAAUGUGUUCCUUAUAUUUCUUGCAUUCAAGAAUCUUCUUGAGCUCAUUCAAGCACCAUUUUGAAGAAGCAUAGUUUUCUGAGAAGAUGACAAUAGAUGCAUGUGACUUCUCAAUGGCUUUGAUGAGUGCUGGCGAGAUCUCAUCUCCUUUUUGAAGCUUAUUGUUGUCUAUAAAGGUUUCAACUUUCUUUCGGCUCAGAGCAUCAUAAAGAUGGCUGGUGAAGUUUCUGCGAGUAUCCUCACCUCGAAAGCUAAGAAAAACGUCAUAUUUUUUCAGAGGCACCACAUCAGAAGAAGAUAUGGAAGAAAAAGCACUGCUCAUUUUCUACCUAGUGAUUAUGAAUUCCAAGUGCCUGCACUAAUCACAAUGCUACACUCAAAAAUAAAAUAAAAAUUUAUGUUUAAAUGUGUUCUUGAUACUUGUCAAUGAUAUUUUUGACAGGUACUCGGUUCAUAUAUCUGAUUGACAUCAGAUCAAGCAGUUCAAGGUUCACAUAUUGCUCAUCUAUGGAUAUAAUAAAUAAACAGCAUUUGUUAUUUCAAGUCGUUUGUGAUUCUUGGAAAUUUGUUUGUCUUAUAUUAAUGGCUUGCUUAUGAUGUGGAAAACCUAUACAGUUAUUUUGAAGAUGAAAAAACUUGAAUAGACAUUAAAAGCUUAAUGACAUGAAAUAGUAAAGAAUCUUAACAUUUUUUUGAAUGACAAAUCCUAGUAGUUAGUUGUUAGAUUAAGUAUUGACUAUUUCGUCCAGGUUUGAACCGAGAGUCUCCAACUUCUUAUCCGUGAGUUCAAAUUUCAAACCAGUUGAGCUACUCAACCUCCCAAAUAAAAAAACUUAACUCAGAUUAAGUGAAGAGCAACCAAAAUAAAACAUAGAAUUCAAUUCAAGCAACAAGGUUAAGCAUCAUUGGAGUCCAUACAUAAAAUUAGUCAUAAAUAACCAGCCUAUGAAUGUAAAGCAAAAACAAAUCUGGCCCAUGUAUGAUACUUUUUUCUCAAGCAGCAUUUUCAGAUACAAAACAGAGUAAUUUCCUAAUCAGUAAAAAUGGGGUACAAAUAAGAAAUAUGAAGACUAAUUAAACAUUCAUAUACAAUUCUUGAAGACCAAUUUAAUCUUAUAAGUUAAAUUAAAAUUGAUGGAAAAAAGAUGAUACCAAAGUCAGAUCCAGCUUAAUGCAAUAGAGGAGAAAAAGACUGUAUGGCUUAGCUUCUGCUGGAAUCAAUUUUGGAUCAAAAUAACAAAUGUGAUUUCACUGUUAUGCAAUCCUAAGUAAAAUGGCUUCAUUGCUCUUUAACAGAUACCAUAAGAUAAAAUAUACUGUAACAUACAGUAACCUUGUUGACUUGGGGGCUUCACUUGGGUUCCAACUACUUUUAAGUUUUAACCAGAAAAAUAAAUACAUGUGUAUUUAAGGCCACAAGAUUAAAUACAAACUUUAUCUUAAAAAUAACUCAUUCAACAUCUAAAAUUUAUAAAAUUGAUUUUUUUUUUAAAAUAGAAUUUAUCACUUGUUUCCUUUUUAGUUUUAUACUAAAUGUUUAGCUCAGUUGAUACAGUGCAUAAUAUAUGCAAAAUCCAGGGUUCGAAUAUUGGACGCCAUCAAAAAGAAAUGUUUUUAAAAAGUUAUUAACAAGAUUUUUUCAUGGUAAAUUCUAUCCACUAAACUACUUGAUAAAAAAAAUAUAAAAAAAAAAAAAAAAGACAGCAUCCAUAUUGACGUUAGUAAAUCUUAUGAUAAUUUAUCGAAAAAAUAAUAAUAAAUAAGAAUUUACAUAGAUAUGUUAUUUCGGCCAUACCCCAGUGAAAGUUGAGAAUAGAUAAAAGGUGUUUGUAUUUGACAUUUUUGUCGAAUAUCUAUACUUUUAAAAAAUUAAAAAAAUACAUGGUUUUUGGAAUAACUUUUUCAUUUCUAAUUAUACCUCUAAGCAAAUCUGUCUAGAAGAAAUAGAAGAAAUAUAUAAUUGAAUCCUGUCAUCUUUUAAUUUUUCUAAUUACAUUUCAUGUAUUCAUGGUUACACACUAAAAUGAUAAAAUUAUCCUUAAAUAAAAUUUAAUUUAAUCUUAAACUCGGUUUAAGUAGGUCAUGUAAACUUAAUUUUAGUAGACAAUGUAAACUGAGUUUAAGUGUAACACUUUAAGUAAGUUAUAUAAACUUAGCUUAAGUAGGUCAUGUAAAAUGAUCAGUUUAAGUGUACAUACUAAAAGUUAAAUUUUGCUUUAACCUCUUCAACCUUGUUUAAUGAUUCUACAUAAUCUUAUUUUAAGUAUGUACUUGUAAACUCAACUUAGGUAGACUAUGUGACUAAAUUUACAUGUACCCACUUAAACUGAAUUUAAGUUAACCUCAACGAUGUUAAUUAACGUUGUUUAUGUUGCACCAUUAAAUAAUCGUGUUGUAAAGUGCAUAACAUAUCAACGUUUGAACAACAAAGAAAAAAAAUCGAAACUCUAGCAUCAAUGAAAAAGAAGAAGAAAUUCAAUUAUUUAUAUGCAAUAGAGUAUGGACGAAAGAUGUUUUGAUUCACUCUUUAAUCUUCUAUAUAGAUUGAUUGACCAUCCAUAAUUGUUUGUGGGGGAAAGCGGGUGAAAUUUUAGAGUGACAAUGAAUGAAAUCAAGGUUUUAAGAAAAUUUAUAUAAAAGAACAAUUUUAAUUUUAUUAUAAAAUUUUAAGUAAAUAUAUGUGUAAUAAGAAAUACAUAGGAUGUAAAAAGAAAAACUCUUGUUAUCAUCAAAACUCAAAGUGGUGUUGUCAAACACAUUUUAUUCCAACAAUAUGUUCGAUAAAACGCAUACAAGUCUGGGAUCAUCCUUGACUUUAUAAUGUUGCGUGCAUUUUACCAACUACUUAUCAACAUUUGUAGUGGCCAUAUAUCAUUGUUUUAAACCUGUUGAUUACACCUAAGCAGCAAUGGAGCUAAUUAAUGGAUUUUUUUGACAAUAAUAGAACCAUAACUACAUGACUGCCUACUUGGAAGCUUGAGAAUGAUGGUGUUUAUACAGUUAAGAAUCCAUACAAGGACAUUAUGAAUCAUGAUAUGGCCCUUUUGCAACAUCGUGUGCCGAGAAAUUGGAAUUAUGUUUGAGUUUAAAGUUGCCACCGUAGCUACCACAAUUGUUUGCCUACUACAAUUCGAUUGCAAUUGAAAGGUGUUUCGUGUACUGAUUUGUGCGCGAUGUGUGAAGACUUUGGUGAAGAUAAUACUUAUUUGUUUUUAUGUGUAGUAAAAGUGUGCUUUGUUGGAAGCACACGAUUUUGGAUUCCUUUGAUGGUAGUCUUCGAUCUUGCUGCAAGUUUCUCGAAAAAUGUGUUUUCUAUUCUAUAACAUCUGGACCAGCAGCAAAAACAAAUCUUUGGUGUGACGCUAUGGAGUAUUUGGAAGAAUAGAAAUAACAAGGUUUGUAACAAUGUUACUGAAACAUCUCAAACUAUUUGUGAACGUGCACGUUCCUUCUCGCUAGCUGGAUGAAUGCCCAAACUAUUCGACACCAUACUUUUCGGCAUUCCAUUACACAGAGCGAUCUACAUAUUGACAUAACCAAGUCCCGACAGGUUCAAAUGCAAUGUAGAUGCUUUCUUUUCUCAUGCUCUGAAUCGAGUCGGGCUAGGUAUGUGUAUUCGAGAUGAUUGUUGAACCAAAAAUCUUUUUGAUGAAUGUUUUAAUAAUAACAAACUUUAUGGAAUAAACACUAAGUUUUAUGAAUGGUGAUCUACUGAUGUUUGCACUUAAGUCUUUUCCGAGAAGUAAACAAGAAAUAAGUCUUUUACAAGUGCAUAGAUAUAUUCAAUGAAAGAAUACCAAAACAAUAGCAUCACAAGCUCAAAGAAGAUAUAGAAAAAAUAUUGUUUGAAUCAAAUGAGUAUUGAUUGAAGAUUCAACAAGAAGAUGUAUUUUAUGAUCAAUUGACUCAUCCUCAUCACCACAUGGUUUUCAACAAAGCAUUAAAAAAUUUGAGGAAUAAAGGGUUAAUAUUUGAAAGACACUUAAUGAACAAGAAACAUUGUGUGGAAUCACUAAGAGGAACUAUGAGAAGAAUUGUAUCAUCAAACAAUUCAAGGUUAAUUGACCAAGAAGAUAUUGUCUUCUUAUAUAGAAGAGAACAUUAUCAACUUUGAUGAAAAGAAGGUUCUCAUGAUGAAGAUGAUUAUUACACUCGAAAUAAUUAGAAUCAACUUUGAAGAGAAACCAACCGAUGAAUAAAUUAUUUAUUAAGUCAUUCAUUAAUUGGAGAACUAUCAAGGAAGACAAAUCAUGAUCAUAUGCAUGAAGAUUCUAUCAUAAAAGACUUAGGAUGAUCCAAGAAUCUUCAAUCAUUUUUCAAGAUAUAAUUUGGGAGAAUAGAAAUCAAUAAAAGGAAUUUUUACUUUGAGAAAGGUUUCUCAUGUUCUUACAAAAGAACAUUAUGGUCAUAAAAAGUGAAGAGAACACCUUCACUUUAUGUUUUUAAAGAUAACACAUAUUUACAUUUAUUAUCUUGUUAUCUACUAAUGUGAGAAUGUUUCAGUGAGAAUGUUCUCAAGAACGUUCUGACCUCGCAAAGAUAACAAAACAUCUUUAACAAAGCAAAUGACAAAAAUCAUCUUUUGAUAAAUGUCAAGAAUGUGCAUAAUCAAAGAUCAAGAAUAAUUGUUAUUCUCUUUGUCUCACCAAAAGAAGGAUCAAUGAUCAUAAAAAUCAAGAUCCUUAAAGGCAUUAAAUGGCAAGAAAUCAAGACAAAUCAAAGCAUUAUGGCACAUGGGCCAUGAUAGCAAAAGAACAAAGAUUAAAUCAUAAUGGCCUUAAAAGAGUGAAAAGAUUCAUUAAAGAAAGGCUUAAAUAUGAUAUUAGUCCCUGUAAUUUGGGUCGGUUUUGAAUUUCGUCCCUGUAAAAAAAAAACUUUGAAUUACAUCCCUGUAAAAAAAAAUUUGUUUGAAAAAGGUCUAUGGCCCCACAUUUUUGAUGAUAUGGCAUGGGUUUUGCCACAUGGCAGUUGCUGACUGUGCAACUUAUGCCACAUGGCGCUGACGUGGCAUGCCACAUAAUAUUAAAUUUAAAAAAAUAAUUUUUAAAUUCUAAAAAUUGUUUUUAAAAUUUAAAAAUAUAAAAAAAAAAUCUGAAAAAAAUUUAAAAAUAUUAAAAUUAUUUUUAUCAUAUAAUUUUCAAAAAAAUUUUUUUUUUUAAAUUAUAAAAUCUGAAAUUUCUGAAAAAAAAAAAUGAAAUGAUUUUUUUUUAAAAUAUGAAGAAAAAAAUAUAAUUUUCAAAUUAAAAAAAAUUAAUGAUCGAAAAUUUAAUUUUAACUGUUUUUUUUCGAUUUUUUAAAUGAUUUUUGAAUUUAUUUUCAUAUUUUUUUAAAUUUUUUAAUUACGUGGCUGCCACGUGGCAAAACCUAUGCCAUAUCAUAAAAAAUGUGGGGCCAGGGACCUUUUUCAAACAAAAAAAAAAUUUACAGGGAUGUUUUUCAAACUUUUAUUUUACAGGGACGAAAAUGAUAUUUAAGCCUUAAAGAAAUAUCUCAAAGUUGUUCCUUGUGGAAAAAGCAUAUGACAUCAUCAUAUAGCAUAAAGAUGACAUAAACACAUCUUAUCAAGUGGCUAGCAAGCUUCUACAACAAUAUUACAGCUGAUAACAACUUGCAAAACGUGUUCCUUCUUUGUACAAGUUUGGCUGGUACAGAGAGAACGUUAUGGAGAACGUUCUGGGUAAGAAAAACCAUCAAAGAAAGAUCUCAAAGUUGUGCCUUAGCAUAUGACAUCAUGCAAUGACAUCAAGCUUGCAUCAUCUUAAGUGGCCUCCAAGGCUUCUACAAUCAGGCAUAUAACUCGUUACAUCUUGCAAAAACGUGUUGCUCUGUGCCCAAGUUAUGGCUGGAAUAGAGAGAACGUUCUCGGUGAACAGUUUCAUGCUUUCUCUCCAAGCAUCAAAUGGAGCCAAUUUAUUUUGAAUUUGAAUUGAGCUCCAAUAGCUCUUUUUUGACUUGUUCUCCAAGGAUACAUCUCCUAUAAAUAGAGGACGUCCAUGAAGGUUAAUAGCAAGAGUUUUGAUAUACAAAAGCUUUGACAUCUCUCUCUCUCUCAAAGCUAAAGAAAUCAUUAUCUUCAUCAAUCUCUUUAACAUCUCUUUCGACAAUCACAAAGCAAACUCCAUAAUCUUUCACUAUAUUUAUCAUCUUUAUCUCUCAUUGAGAACAUCUUUCUGAGUUUGUAUUUGUACAAGGAUAGUUUGUUUGAGACGCUAGAUCCAAACAACAUCUUUCUCAUUUUCGUUUGAGACAUUAGAUCCAAACAAUCAUCUUACAAAGAGAUAACUAGAUCUCAAGUCUAUUGGGCUUAAUAGUUUGAGAUAGGAAGAGUUCCAAGCUUUCUUGUGCAAAAGCAAAGAAUUGUAGAAGCCUGCUGAGGUUGAUAAUACAAGGGUUACAGACUGAUCUGGUGUGAUCAAGACCUUAUAGUGUUGGUUAGAAGUUUCUACCAACUGAAUACUAUAGUGGAUAAUCUCACACGAAAUGUGGGGACUGUGGAAGUAACCGGGAUUGGUGAACCAGGAUAACUCUCCUGUGUUAUUCUUCUUUCUCUCUCCCUCUCUAUCUUUUAUUUUUACACAAUAUGCACACACUAUCACACUCAUUAAUAUUUAUAACUCCUCUCUCCCUCCCUCUCUCCUGUGUUAUUCUUCUUUCUCUCUCCCUCUCUCUAUCUCUAAGAUAUUCUGGUCCUAAUUAAUCACAACCAAAUUAAUCCAGAGUUCUCUGGUCGUUAAAUAACCAUUAAUAUUGUUUUAUCAUUCAGCUUAAUAAUUAAUUAUAACUGCUUUAUAUUUAUCCAGAGUUCUCUCGUCCUUAAUUAACCAUAAGAUUAUUUUAUCAUUCAGUUUAAAUAAUUAAUUAUAUAAUUAUUAUCCAGAACAUUCUGGUCCUUAGUAAAACUGCUUAAUUAUUUAAACCUUACUUUAUCCAAAACAUUCUGGUCCUUGAUAAAACAAUUGUUUAAAUAUCUAAAUAUUUUAUAAUCUUCUUUUAUCUAACAUUUACCAAGAAUUUUCUUGAGUACAUAAACUUGUUAAGUUUCAGGAUUAAAUUUAAAAAGGGUCACAAUUCAAACCCCCCCUUUCUUGUGACUAUUUCUUCCACUUCAAUGAUGAGAGGUUGUUUUGUGUUACCUAAAACCAAAUGGUUGACUCCGGUCCUUGAUGUGGACUUGAAGAGGCUUUAGGUUUAUUAUAAACAUUGUAUUGGGUGCGUGAUCUAUAGCUAGGUAUUGUGGAUUUUGGCCUUGAUUCCAAAAAUGUGGUGGAUAGUCUCUAUGGUAGAAAAAGUAACGUUACUAAUUAUAGUGCAGUUAUAAUUGAUUGUAGACGCAUGUUAGCUUGUGAUUUAGCAAUUGAUGAUGUUAGGUUUAAUCAGAGACAAGCCUACGAAGUCGCUGAUGUUAGUUUCUAUAUUCAUACUAAGAUUACAUCGUGUAUCUCAACUAUUAUGCAAUAAGUUUCUUUAUGUCUAAAAAUAAUAAUUCAUUUUCUACUCAUUGUCCAAGAGUAGCACCUCUUAAGCAACCAUACAUCAACACCACUUCAGCGCCACCGUCAAGGGCACCACCAAACAAUGACUCUACCAUAACUCUUACAUCCUCGCCGUAGUCAAAGUCAUUGAAUCCCACCCCCAUCGUCGAUCUAUGAUUUUCCCCUGGUUCCGUCCUGGCCUCGACCAAAACUACAAUCGCCACCAUAAAAGGUUCUAUCUUCACUCCCGUCAUCGGCACCACCUCCAAAACCACCUAAUUGCAUCUCUAUUUACGGAAUCAUUGACUUUGAGGACAAGGUCAAUUUUGAAGAGCAGAGUAGUGAUAACAUUAACCAAGAGGAAGAAAUUUCGGAUAACGUAUAACAAAUGAUGUUAAAGUGAAGGGAUUGCAUUACUAUCCAGGAACAAUAAGAUUAGCAGAUAAUAAUAGGAAGGUAGUUUUAUAUUUGUUUGUUAUGUUCUGAGUAAUAAUAGAUAAUUUAGUUGUAUAUCCUUAGAUAUUAAUAACUUCGUUUUUUUUUGUCAAAUUGUCUAGUGGUUAAAACUCACAUAUUUUUUAUUAAAAAAAAAAUAACUAACACAUUUUAAAUAUGGACAUAAGUAUUUCGUGAUUAUAUAUUACCGAAACUUCUCUGAAGGACAUAAAUCUAUAUUUCAUUUCUUGAUUGCUUUUCAGAGAAGUUUCGAUAAUAUAUAAUACAAUAACAAUAUUGACUUGGGUUCCAGUCUACUUUCUAUAAAAAAUAAAAAAUAAAAUGGGUUUAUGCCACGUUGUAUAAAAUAACAAUAAUAAAAUAAAUAUAAUAACCAUAUUAAUUAAUAAAAAACAAAGAUAAGAAAUGUGAUUAAGAAAGGAAGGAAGGAAAAAUCCAAAGUGUCUUCUAGGAGCAAAGGUGUCAUGACAUUAUUAUUAGUAUUUUUAUGGAACAAUAUUUAGGGUAGCAUGCCUCAUUCUAGUUAAGAAAAAAUUCAAGGUUCAAUAAAUGCUUGCAUAAAUUCUUACAUACUAUUCAUUAAUUAAAUAUAAGUUGUAUUCUUACUAAAUUGCUGACAUGACAUUAUUCUUUAACAAGCAUACAAAAGAUAUGACAUUAGAGAUAGUGACCCUUUAAGUAAAAAUAUGUACAUCCUCUAGUUAAUAUUAUAAACAAAAAUUAGCAUUUUAUAUUCAUUCAUUAAAUUAUAUAUGUGGUUAAUAAUAAAGACUAUAUACAUUAUUUAAUGAAUGAAUUUGUCAAUAUGCGUGGUCAGAUCAGAUGCAUAAAUGUGUAAGACGCUGGGUGAAUAAAAGAUCUGGAGUACAAAUCCGAACCACCAAAAAAAACUUACAUUGUGAAUUCAAUUUCCUAUAUUAAAACUUACGGUGUGAAUCUAAUUUCCUGUAUUAAAACUUAAGGUGUGAAUCUAAUUUUCUAUAUUAAACUAAAUAGCUGUUAGAUGAGGUCCAUUUCUUUUUAUUUGUUUCUUACCAAUCAAUUUCAGUAACCUUUAAACAAAUGUCAUAUUGUUGAAUCGUGAACUUUCUUCACACGUUCAAUGGCUGGUCCAAUUUAGAAAAUAUUAAUGAAUACAUGCUUUGAUAAAUUAUUUAUCAAAAACUGAUUUAUAUACUUUUUACACACAAGGAAUUGAGUUGGACAAACCCCUUCACUCCGACCUCAUCCCCCAAUCCCUCCCACCGCCAAUUUCAAGUGUGUUUAGCUGAGAAAAAGUUAUGUAAUGUUUUGAAAAAGUUAUAAAGUAUUAUGUUUAAGUUAAAUUGAGUGAAUUUUAAAUGAUAUUUAAGAUCUAAGAAUUUCAAAUUAUUUCCUAUUAGAUAUAUCUUUCAAAAUUUCCAAGUUGGUCCCCAUAUUUUUCAAAAAAAAUAAAUUAACCCUUAAAUAUUUAAAAUAAAUUGCAAAUUGAUCCUUACAAUUUCUUGAAAAUUAUAAACCGCUUUCAAUUUUUGAAUUCUACAAAUCAGCCCUCAAUUUUUCAAUUUUUCAAUUUGGCCCAAAAUUUUAUAAAAUAUAAAAGUAAGUAGCACAAAAAUAUAACUGAAGUAUUUUAUCACUGUAUCCAAACAAAAAUAUUAAAAAAUAAAGGGAUCUAGCGUCGAUCAUCUCACAAGGUGUUGGGAUGAUUUAUACCGCCGCUAUGAAAAUUAGAACUUUAAGUGCUUGUUUGGUGUAACACUCCUAUUUCUAUUAAAGCAAUUAAACAUGCAAAUAAUACAUUUAUUCAAGAAAUAGAGGCUACGCCACAUUCAAAAUUCAAAAACCAAUAAACAUGUAUAUAAACCUCAACAGUUGCAGCGGAAUAUAAAUCAGAGUAAUCCAAAUGUAUACAUGUCAUGAAUAAUAAAUUACAUCACAUAGAUGCAUCUCAAAAAUCCCAAACAAAACGGAUAAUCUCCAACAUAACAAAAUCCAAAAAUAACCUAAUCUAGACCGACACAACAAGCCUAGAUCAGAGCCAACUCAACACCGAUAUCGGAGAAAGCUCCCGAUAUCCCAAGCACAAACUCACCAAGCACUACUCCUGCACAACGUCUACCCAUCCAUACAGAUAGGUAGGCGGUUAAAACCACUAGGGUAAGUAUUACAUUAUCAUAAUCCAAAUAACAGAUAACAUGAGUAUUUCAAUAUAAACAUCAUGCAUUUGAUCAAUAGUAAUCACACAUUAAUACUUACAUCACAUCCCAAUAUCUCACAUCAAUAAUCAUCAAUCACAUAAACAGUUAACAAUUCACAAAUAUUCAUUCACAAUCUCCAAACACAAAUAUUCAUGAAUAGUCAUUAAUCACAUUUCACGAACAAUCACCAAUCACAUUUAUCAAACAAGACUCAUGUCAUGAUAUGCACUUAUUGACACAUAAAUGCAUGUGGUACCAAAUCUCCAAAAGGUCGUCACCUCCGAUGGAACAACUCAACAUCGUAUGUAAGGGUUCACACCCGCCUUACAUAAUCUCCGAAGUAAAAGAGCACAACCUUUUUACAACUACACGACUAUGAUGCAUGGACAUGUAAAAAAACUAGAUAAUGCGACAACAAUCACAAUUUUCUCCACAAUAUAUAGGAAAACACCCAAUUAUAUUGUUCAUCUCCACAUCAUUUGCAUUAUCAAGAAAACAUGCCCAUUCAUAAUUAAAUCAUAGUAUUCAUCAUUACACAUCAACGUGAUUAUCAAUAAUCAACGAUGUCAUUCAAUCAUCAACUAUCACAUAUAGUUUCACAAAUUCAAACAUUCCUUACAUCUUAAGUAAGAUAGCAUACACUUCUCAUGAUAAUUAUCAUAUCCAAAAUACAAUCAUUCAUUCAUACAACUUCACUUAGUCAUAUAAGAAUGAUCACAACAAUUCAUAAGACAAUACGACUUAAAGAUUCACUAGACCCCCUUUUCACAAGGUUAAUUCUUCCAUAAAAACACCCCUAGAUGAUUAGGAUAAAGUCCCUAUACAUAGAAAUAAGUUUGGAAACAAUUGGAUCAAAGAAAAUUGCAUUUUAAAAGUUUCUGGUCAGGCAAAAUCGUAGUCCGAAUUUUCCCCAUCGUAGUACGAUUUUUUUCGAGCUGAAACAACCCAAAAUCUGGUCAAAAUCGUAGCCCGAUGGAUAAAAUUGUAGUCCGAUUUCUGCCUGACAGACAACAUCAGAUUUUCCAAUUUUCACGUUUUCGCGCGUAAAAACCAAACCGUUAAUCCGUUUUCGGUGCCGUUUUCACCUACUUGUUCAUGACACUUAGCCCUAUCUUAAUGUACAGAAAAAUUCAAGUUUCAACAUUCCCAAAUUCAUUUUUCAAAGCCUUACACAACACUCAUUUUCCAAAACGGUUAACAAUUGAAUUUUCACCCGAAUCUCCCGUUUUCUCCCAAAACGACUCGACUAUCACAACUACAACCUAAAAACAGAAAUUCCAUCAAGUUUAACUCAUCCAACCACAUAGACAACUCAGUCAACAACUUUGUAUAUCAAAUUUCACUUUGGUCCUUCACAUGACCAUCUAGCACAACUUCACCAAUACAAACAACUUACUUCAUGAAAUGGAAUACCCAUGUUAUCAUUCAACAACAUCAACAUAUCUACUUUAACAACACCUCAUUUAGACAUGAAUUCAAUCAUAAUUCAAUUACACAAUAUCCCAAUCCAACAAUUGAGCAAAACACAUAAGUAUCCAUUUUCACCAAACCAACAACAACAACUUAUUUCACAACAACAAACUAUGAAUCAUGCAUACCCAAGCCAUGAAUUAGCAUCCAUAACAUCACUUAACAACAACAACAUCUAUUGAUCAUGAAACAUAUCACAAUUCAUCAACAACCAUCCAUAAUUCACCAUUUGAGCAUAAUUUACAAACUACCCAUUUUCAUACAUCAUGAACUUGCAAUUUCAUAAUCAACAAUUCAUUUAACAUCAAAUUAACACAUUCAAACAUAUCUCUACAACAUAAGCAAGAAUUUCAAAGAUUGGGUUCAUGAUAAUCACUUAUUCCCAUAAUCAAUUAUGCAUAGAACAAGAGAAAAAGAAUUAACUAAAUGAUUAUGAUAAAGACUAACCCCCUUACCUUAGAUGAAGAUUAACCCAAACUCUUGCUUCAAUUCAGCUCCUAAGCUUACCCAAAUUGAUUCCUCAAGCUAUUCUCUUCAAAACCCUUGUUCUUCUCUUCACCUCUUUCUCUCUCUACCUCUCUCUCUAGGAAAAUUUUAUGAAGUGAAUGAAAGAUAUUUUUUUUCUAUGACAACCCUAAUGUUAUCUCCCUUAAUGGGCUUAACUUAGUUUCUAGUGGGCUUAACCCAUUUCUAUUCAAACCACAAAUAUUUCUCUUUAACUAAUAACGGUAAAAUAUAACCAACGGUCACUAAACGGUAAAAACUAAUCACUACACUAGUAACUUAGUAAAAUAAGGGUUCUCACUAAAUAUUAAAGAUAAUUCUUACCAAAAUUUCCAUUUUACCCUUACCCGCCAAAUGACCAAAUACCCUUCUAAUACGGUAAUCUAUGUAAAUGCACCCAAUGACAAUUAAAUACACACAAGCACAAAUAAUCACAAACAAACACAUAAUAAAAGUAAUUAAAAUAAAUCUAGCUAAAAAUCGGGCUGUUACAUUUGGCACCACGUUUUUGGGCUCCAAACGUGGUUUAUUUUUGCCAAACGUGGUGUUGCACUUUUACAUGCUGUUUGGAUGACGAAAAAGCAAGUUUCUGAAAAGCGGUUUAUGUCUCCAAAACGCAAUUUUCUUGAAGCUGGAAUUCGGAGCUUCUACGGCAGAUAAAAACCACGUUUAAGCCUUUAAUUUCUCAAGUGGCAGGUACUUACCUAAUUACCCCUAAAUUCAAGCCUUCAAUUUCUCUUUCUCAUAGUUUUCUUCCUUUUCAUUACUUCACAUCACUUUCAAACUUAAAUUUUCUGCUAAUUGUGAAGAUUUUGCAUAUCCAAGAUUUCAAUUAUCUUCAGCUUUUCCCCAAUUUUUUCAGAUUUCAUGGUUAAUCUCAUUACUCAUGGUAGAUGUGUUGUUUGGGUGAAUUUAUUCCUUCAGCUUUUCCCCUAUAUAUGAUGCUUAUGAGCUACUUGUGAGAACCAUUCCAUUGCUCUGCCAAGGCCUGAAGGUAAAUACAUAUUCAUAUUUUUUUUGCUUUGAUUACUUGCUUCAAUAUUGUUAAUUUCUAUUUCUCUUUGCUCUAUUUGUUACAAGUUUUACAUUAAUUUUUCCAUCCUACAUCAAUGCAUUGUAUGUGUUUGAUAAAUAGUCUCAAAGAAAAAAAAAAUUCUUAUAUUGAUAUGUUUAUGUUGAUGAAUUUUCUUGACCUGUAGAAGUGAUUGUUUUGUUAUUAUUGAUGUUUAUCUUUAUUUUUAUUUUUUUUUAUUUUUUUGUGUUUUUAGCAAGGAGUCUAUUGUUUUUGUUUAAGGUACUUGGUGUGUUCAAAGUAAUUGAAUGAACUAACGUAAGAAAAGAAACUUAUAGCUUCAAGCCAUUGUUGUAAUUCUAAUUUUUGUGCCUUUACAAAAAAUUCCAAAGUAACAGAAUUUCUUCUAACACAAAGUAACAGAACUCACUCUUAGCACAAAGUAACAGAACUUCUUCUUGUAUUGUUUUUGUUUUCUGUUAUCAUUUUCAUUUGCACAAAACAAGGAUAUUGGUGUUAGUUUGAUCAAGUUGCUUAUGUAUAGUUUGUUUCAUUUUUUUUUUUGGGUUAAUAUGUCUUUACCCCCUGUAAUUUGGGCGAGUUUCGGUUUACCUCCUGUAAAAAUAAAAGUUUAGAUUCCAACCCUUUAAUAUGAAGAUUCUUCAAAAAACACCCCUAUAAUAUUAAGAUUCUCCACAAAACACCCCUGACCCCAUCCAGACGCUGAUGUGGCACGCCAUUGUGUAAUUAUUUUAAUUUUUUUUAAAACCUGACACAUGUGUAAUGGACGCUGACUGUAUAAUUUUUUUUAUUUUUUUUUAUUUUUUUAAAGGGUACACGUGGCAUUUGUGAUUUUAAAAAAAAAUAAAAAACGAAAACAAUUAUGGAAAAAUUAAUAAAAAUAAAAAAUAUUCUGAAAAAUAAAAAAAAAUAGCGAAAAAAUUAAUUAAAAUAAAAAAUAUGAUUAAACAAAUUCCGGAAAAUUUAAUAAAAUAAAAAAUAAUCUGAAAAUUUUAAUAAAAAUGAAAAAGAAUCUGGUAAAAUGAAAAAUAAUGAAAAAAAUUUGGAAAAAUUUUAAAAAGUUCUAGAAAAUUUUAAAAAAUAAUAAAAAAAUCUGGAAAAAGUUAAAAAUAUGAGAAAAAAAAUUUAUAUUUCUGGAAAAUUCAGGACCUUAAAAUAUUUCAAAAUUCUUGAAUAUAAUAAGAAAAUAUAUUUUAUUUUUAAAAAAAAAAGGUUCAGAUUUUUCUUUCGAAAUUAAUUUUUUUUUUAUUUUUUUAUACAAAAAAUAAAAAUAUUGGAAAAUAUUUCAAUAAUUAGAAAAACAUAACAUUAGAACAUGAAGAAUAGAAUUAAGGGCUUGUUUUUCAAUAGUAUAACAUGACUUAUAUACCGGUGUCAAUCAAAAUUCAUUGUAUCUUGUUAUUCAUCUAGAUUAUAUUUUCGAAUAAAAUAAAAUUCUAGAAAUAAAUUUUCAUAAUCAAAAUAACUAUAUAAUAUUAUAUUUUUCGAUUUUUUUAUAAUUUAAAUUUAAUUCAGAUUUUUUUUUAUAUUUUUUGAAAAUUUUGAUAUAUAUAAAUUUUUUCCAGAAUUUUUUAUUUUUUUUGAACUUUUUCCAGAUUGUUUUGUUUAUUGUCGUGAUUUUUUUCUUAAAUUUUCUAGAUUUUUUAAUUUUUUCAGAUUUUUUUUAUUAAAUUUUCUAUAUUUUUUCAUAAUUGUUUUUUCAUUUUAAUAAUGUUUCUAGAAUUUAUUAUUUUAUUUUUAUUUUAAAAAAAUAUAUACAAAUGCCACGUGUACCCUUUAAAAAUAAUAAUAAUACAGUCGUCACGCUACAUAAUCAGAUAUGCACAGUCAGCAUGCCAUUUCAGCUCGCCACGUCAGCAAUUCUGUACAGUCACAUAGGUCAGGGGCUAAAGUCAAAUAAUCUUAUUUUACAGGGUUGGAAUCUAAUCUUUUUUUUUACAGGGGGUAAACCGAAACUCGCCUAAAUUACAGGGGGUAAAUACAUAUUAACCUUUUUUUUUUUUUUUAUCAUACUUUUGUGUAUAUAGUAAUAUGGACUCACUUAAGAGAAAAGUUUCUGCUAACCCCCCUUCAACUAACAAUGAGGGUCAAAGUUUCAAAGCUAGUUUAAAUAUUAGUUUGCAAUAAUUUUCAAUAUUAUAUUGCACUUGAACUUAUAUUAUCUAUUAUCUAUAUGUAAUAUACUUUAGAGCCUUGCCAUUUUUUAUACAUAUUUAGAAAUCUAUGAUUAUGUAUUAAUAAUUUACGUAUAUUUUAGUUUACAAUUGUGUAAUUUCUCAUUUGUUUUACAUCUUUUUAUGCUUAUAUUAUUUUAUUAAAAAUCACCCAAUUGAUAAAAAAAAAUAAUAUUAAAAAUAACAUAAAUUUAUAUUAUUUUAAAAUUAAUUUUAGAACCAAUAGAAUUCAUGUAUGAUAAGUUGAAAUAAUUUUUUUUUAUGAGAAUGAGUUUUAAAUACAAUUAAAAUGAUAGUUUAGUCAUUAUACAUUCAAAAUCAAUUUUGAUUCAAACUAUCCAAACAACAUCAACCCGCAAGAAUCACUUUUAGUAUCCAAACAUAAAUCAAUUCACAUUCAACUCACUUUUAACCAAAAUCAAUUCUCUCAAACUCAAUUCUAUCAAAAUCAAUUCUCCUCGCCGCCAUACCAAACACACACUAAGAUUAAGAAGGAAAAGAUGAAGGGAACUGGCUACAAAUGGUAUUAUUAAUGUGGCUUGGUGGAACUCUUUACCCUUCUUUACUAGGGAUGACUUUUAUAAAGACCACUAUGGAUUUUUAAAUUAUCGUUCUCCAUAUCUCUUUGUAUUUUAAUUUUGUUUUUUGUUUUGGUUUGGUCCUCCUCUAGUACGGUUUUUCAUUUUUUUAAUAAUUUUUUUUUAGAUCAAGCUGGCAUAGGAUGGGGUGGUUUUGGAGUGUGAACAUAGUUGGAAUGUCAAACCUUCUUUUGAUGUCUUCUUUUGCUCAUGAUUUAGAAGGAAAAAAAAAAUUUAAUUACAAUAUAUUUCUCUAAAUUGAUUGAUUUCUUUCCUAAAGACACAACAGAAUUAAUCAACUAUAAUUGAUUUAUUUUUUUUACUUGGAUGAAAGUGAUUCAUAUGCCAAACAGAGCCUAAGUAAUUAAAAUAACAAAUUAGUUUAAAAAGGUAACUACCUGGAAUACGCAUUAGAAUGAAUCAGUAUUAGAGAGAUUAGAAACACCAGUAUUGAUUUGUGAGAAAACCAAGAUCUUUGAUCUGUAUCAUUUAAAAAGGAAAGACCAUCAACAGAACCAUUAUCAUUCUUCUUGUCUUUCUUCUUUUUUGACACAAAAUCAUGAAACUUGAGUAGCUAUACUGCAAUAGGGAGAAAAAGGAAGAAGAAAGACGAUUCAUUUAGUGAUGAAGCAGAAGAAGUUUGAAGAAAGUGGUAUUGCUAGCUUCAAUGACAUUGCUGAGGAAAAUAAAUAGAGAUCUAUACACAAAAUUAUGAAAGACAAGAAGAUUCAUACCAAUUGAACAGCAAGGAUGUUUCUGGUCAUCUUCAUUUUCAAUGUUGGAGCUUAUGACUUCACCUCCAAUUGAUGUAGGUUGUAACUCAUCAUUAUAAUUUCCCUGGCCAUCUUCACUUUCAUUGUUAGACCAAUCAGACCCCACACCAAUUUCCCAACCAUCCAGAUUCGACUUAUGUUCUAAGUUAUAUACAGGUAAGACCCCACACCCCUUUAUCCCCUCUGUUGACCACCACAAUUCUUCAUUGAAAUCUUGAUGCAUGAAUUGAAAUGAUAGGUUGCAAUCAUUACUUCCAUGUUUCCGUCUGUUGUAAGGAUGCCAACAUAUCAAUACGUGAUCUGAAAUUAAUGUCCCAUUAUAUUCGUAAACAACAAGAAUACACUUGUCGACUUCUUUGCCGUGUUCAAAGAUGACACAAUGCAGGGGGUGAUUGAGAUCAUGGAAGCCCUUAGAAAGAAUGGUGCAGAAUACGAAACCAGACAGGUUAUAUUUUGGAAUCGGAGGAAUGGUUAUUGAAGCCUUCAUUGUUUGAAAAUCAAACUUGCGAGGAACUUGUGCUCCUGGCAAGAAAUAGACAUCAUAAUAGGAACGGUUAUUGACAUCUUUAUUUGCAUGAAAAGGGUCUUUAGAGAAGAUUUGUACUAUGUUCUCAAGAAAUGACCGUUGAGUGGAGUCUGUGUCCAGAUAAGUGCAAUUAAUGGCACUCAAACAUAAUAGGGAUGGCGGAAGCUCUGUUAGAGACACAAGUUUCCUGCAAUCAUCUAAAACUAGCCAUUUUAGCAUUGAAUGGUUUCGUAUGUUCUCAGGGACACAUUCCAAGUUGCAACAAUCUUGCAAUGAGAGCCGUUUCAAAGAUUGUAUGCCAUCAAGGAUGGACCACAGACUUAAUGCAUUGAUUUCUGUGCACCGUGAAAGGUUUAGUUCUAUAACAGACCCAAGUCCAUGAUCAUCUGAUAACUUAUUCCCAACAAUGUUAAGCUUGUUACACUCGGUUAGGGAAAGAGAAGUAAGUUUUCUGUUACGCCAAAUCGAUGAAGACAAUUCACGUAUAGCAGUGCCAUCUAAGGUCAACUCUGUCAUUUCAUCCGAUGUCACUGAGAAUUCUGUGAGAGAAGAACAACCAUCGAGUAAGAGUUCACAAAGAGAUUUUGAAUGAAUGUUGGUUUUAAGGCUUUCAAUCUUUUUGCAACCUCGUAAAUCUAGAUAUCUA
Molecule: long non-coding RNA, 59601 nt
Filed under: Medicago truncatula (barrel medic)
Lineage: Eukaryota; Viridiplantae; Streptophyta; Magnoliopsida; Fabales; Fabaceae
Description: long non-coding RNA (MTRU_LNC000683)
Source: RNAcentral